CACACCAUCCCCUGGUGGGCUGGUGGCCAGCCCAAGUGGGCCUGGUUCAGACGAAGGAGGAGAAAGGAAAGGAGAGGUGGGGCAAACCGAAAUAGGAAGGGACUCCUCCUCCCAAUCGGAUUGGAGGGUGACUCCUCUUCCUUCCAUGGCGCGCCAGCCAACCCUAGGGAUUUUUCCCUAGGGCGCCACCCCUCCCUCUCUCCUAUAUAUAGUGGAGGUGAGAGAAGCUUUUGGCACCCAAGCCAUAGUACAACCCUCUCUCCCUCCACCACUUCGUGACACCCCGUAGCUAGUUCGGUACGGCACGGCGAAGCCCUGCCAGAGUAACUCCACCACCAUCACCGCCACGUCGUUGUGCUGCUGGAGAGUUCAGCUACCUCUUUGCCUCUCUUGCUGGAUCCACAAGGCAGAGAUCGUCAUCGAGAUGUACGUGUGCUGAAUACAGAGGUGUCGUCCGUUCGGUACUAGAUCGGGACGGACUUCGUGGGACGCUUGCGAUUCGGAUUGCGAAGACGUUCGACUACAUCAACCGCAUUUAUUAACGCUUCCCGCUUAGCGAUCUACAAGGGUAUGUGGAUCCGAUCUCCCCUCUCGUAGAUUAUCAUCACCAUGAUAGGUUUUGCGUGUGCAUACGAAAUUUUUUGUUUCCCAUGCGACGUUCCCCAUCAGUGGUAUAAAAGCUAGGUUCAUGCGUAGAUGAUAUCUUGAGUAGAACACAAAAGAGUUUGUGGGUGUUAAUGUUCAAUUUUCUGCCCUCCUUAGUCUUUUCUUGAUUUAGCGGUAUUGUUGGAUUGAAGCGGCCCGGACCAACAUUCCUCAUGCGCGUACGAGAGACCGGUUUCAUCGACUAACAUUCAACUUGUUGCAUAAAAAUGACUGGCGGGUGUUUGUUUCUUCAACUUUAGUUGAAUCGGAUUUGACCGAGGUGGUCCUUGGAGAAGGUUAAAUAGCAAUUUGCACACCAUCGUUGUGGCUUUGCAUAAGUAAGAUGCGAUCAUACUAGAUACCCAUAGCAGUCAUGUAAAUUUUGCAACAACAAAUUAGAGGACGUCUAACUUAUUUUUGCAGGGUAUGCAUGUGAUGUGAUAUGUCCAAUGACAUGACAUGAUAUAUUGGAUGUAUGAGAUGAUCAUGUUGUAAUAAUUAAAUAUCGACUUGCACAUCGAUGCUACGGCAACCGACACGAGCCAUAGGGUUGUAUUUAAUUAUUUUGUGCUUGGUGAUGCUUUUCUUUAUCGCUAGUAGUAGCUUUAGUAGUAACAUCAUAGUUAGCGCGACAACCUCGAUGGAAGCAUGAUUAUGGAGAUGAUGGUGUGGCGACGGUGACGAUGGAGGUCAUGCCGGUGCUUUGGUGAUGGAGAUCAAGAAGCACAAGUUCAUGGCCAUAUCAUGUCACUUAUGAUUUGCAUGUGAUGUUAAUCCUUCUAUGCACCUUAUUUUGCUUAGGACGACGGUAGCAUUAUAAGGUGAUCCUUCACUAAAAUUUCAAGAUAAAAUUGUUUUCUCCCCGACUGUGCACCGUUGCGAUAGUUCGUCGUUUCGAGACACAAAGUGAUGAUCGGGUGUGAUAGACUCUACGUUCACAUACAACGGGUGCAAAACAGUUGUACCACGCGGAACACUCGGGAUAAACUUGAGGAGCCUAGCAUGUACAGACAUGGCCUCGGAACACAAGAGACCGAAAGGCCGAACAUGAAUCAUAUAGUUGAUAUGAUCAACAUGGAGAUGUUCACCAUUGAAACUAAACUCAACUCACGUGAUGAUCGGACUUGAGUUAGUGAAUUUGGAUAAUGCGACACUCGAAUGACUAGAGGGAUGUCAAUUUGAGUGGGAGUUUAUUAGUAAUAUGAUUAGCUAAACUCAAUUAUCUUAAACAUAGUCUAAGUAAUCUUUGCAAAAAUUUAUGUUGUAGAUCAAUGGCUCGCGCAGUAGAAACCCUUAAUUUUAAUGCGUUCCUAGAGGAAGCUAAGCUGAAAGAUGAUGGAAGAAACACUGUUGACUAUGCCCGUAAUCUGAGGCUUAUCCUCACGGCUGCCCAAAAGCAAUAUGUCAUUGAUGCAGCACUAGGUGAUGCUCAAAGAGAGAUAAAUUGCCAUCCAGGUACUGGCUAUGGACCCGUAGGUCUGUGGUGAUCCACUUACAUAUCAUCAUGAGGGCAUCAAGGUUGAUGAAGAAGCCCUCGGUGAUCGAUCCGACCUCUGGCAGAGUGCCGAGACAGAGCUCUAGAUGGACCCCCGUCAGAACAGAGACUUGUGGCAGCGUAAAAAGUGUUUCCGGACCUCCGUCGAUGUUUUAGGAUAGAUGAGAAUUUAUAGACUAGAGAACAGAGUCGGGAGAGCCGCGAGGGGGCCACAAGCCAUUAGGGCGCCCCCUGACCGCGCCCUGUUGGCUUGUGGGGCCCUCGUGCACCCUCGUGCCUCCUUUCGAUGCUCCACGGUCUUGUUUUAGUCCAGAAAAAAAUCACAAAAAGUUUUAGGUCAAUUGCACUUCACUUGGUACUAAACCGUAAAAAGUGGAAAACACGCAGAAAACAACAACUAGCACUUGGCACUGGGUCAAUAGGUUAGUGCUCAAAGAUAAUAUAAAUUGGUAGAUAAUUAGUUCAUAAAAAAUGUUCUAAAAUGAUAACAUAAUAGCAUGGAACAAUCAAACAUUAUAGAUACGCUGGAGACAUAUCAUUGUACCGCUCGCUAGGGUUUUCUGCAUGGUACUUGUGUGCACUGAUUGUACCGGUGCACGAAGAGGUUGUACUGCUGUAGUGUAAAAACCGUUGUAACAGUUGAAUUUGGGGGCACUAUAAAAGGGGAUGGUUCUUCCACCGACCUUCUUACCUCUUACCUCUCUCUUUCUCUCUCUUUCCUUCAUUAAUGCCCUCCAAGCUUUCUUGCUCGAUCUCUCUUCCACUCAUUAAUGCUAGCAUCAUCGUACAUUUGGAGUCGACACACUUUGCUAGAGGCCGCUACCGGCUAGCCGAGCUGGAUGUGAUCUGACUUGCAACCAAGUGAACGAGAACCUAAGGGGUCGUGCUCUUAAGAGAAGGAUUCUACGAGGUCAUAUACGAGGACACUGGUCGGAUGUGAUCUGAGCUGGACUUAGAUCAUGACCAAGUAGACUUUAGGCUUUAGGAUCCAUGUGAGGCCCAAAAUUGAGACCGCGACGGAUGCCUAUAUAUAAUGGGGGUACCACACACAUAUUCGGUCGAUUGCUUCAGCAUCGUCAUUAGGGCGUUGCAUGUGUUAGAACCACCCACCUCCACUCGCCGCCGGUUGUGUGAUCGGACCUAGCAGUCCGCCACAUGACGUUCCUCCUGCACGUGCGAAUACCGUUAGAGGUGGUGCAGUUGCGCAGCUCCAACGAAGUUGUCCACGGGAUUCAGCGGACGACUGUUUGAGAGACCGGACGAGGAGGGGGCAACUCCUGGGACGCGCUAGCACCACUAUUCGUCCACUACAUUGCGCUCUAGUGGUAACAAUCUGUGAUUCCUCUCCUUAGCAUGUUCCCGGUUAUACAGUGCAUAGGAAUUUUUUUUAUAUUCCAGCCGAUGCACCUAGCGUAGCCCAACACUAUCCCUCCGUCCCUCCCUUCCUUCCUCUCUCUCUCUCUCUCCCUCUCUCUCUCUCAAACACUUAAUACAUGCAUACUUACAUUAGUUUGAUCAUGUUCAUGUGAUUUAAGGUUAAUUGAAUUUGUGGCACUAUCAUAUGAACAAUGAUGGUGCCAAAUCCAUGGCCUAAAUAAGUUGCAUCCAAAUGUACACGGAAAAUAGUUAGAUAAAAAGUAUGAACACAUCGUAGAACAUAUUACAUCGAGAAUCGAUUAUGGUUCUAUACAUAAAAGAACAAAAAUCUCGUGGUGCAAACUAAACAUACGUUUAUAUUAAUUAAAUGUAUGCACAUUUCGUUCCUGCAAAAGAAAUUUGUCCUAUUCGGAAGAAAAGAAAACAAGUUUUGAAAAAUCAUGUAGCAAUUACUAGAAAGAUUACCAGAGUUGAGAUACACAACUAUGGACGUAGCCAUUUGAGAUUAUCCUGUCACUGUCCACGGACCCGCCCGCAGAUGUAUAUAUGUAGUGCUCCAUUUGGCAAUUGGAGUUGCAGAUGCUCUAACUUCCUUCUUUUUUGUGAACCAUGUGAUGAACAAGCUCUCUCGAAACAGGCUUUCGCCCCGCUUUAUAGAUAAAGCACAACGGCCAGAAUCCAACCCACAUGUUCGAACACAAAAAAUAAAAAAGAGAGUCAGGUGGGGCAACAACACAGUCCAGCCCAAAAUAAAGAGAAGAAACAAAAAAUUCCCACACAGGGGCAAGCUAGGCAGCAAGCAAGGGAGAGGAGAGCCGUCGGGCGGCCGCCAUCAACGCGUCCAGGUAGAGCUGAAGUCGGCCUCGAUCCCGGGUCCUAACGAGCGGAUGCCAAUGCUGCAAGAAGGCAAGGAAUUUGAAGAACGAGUCAGAAGCACGCCGCGGAAACACCUUCUCAAUCAUCAUUUUAUUGUGAGUAGUCUAGAGGGUCCACAUCAUAGCCGCGAAGACCAACCAAAACAGUCGGCGUUUAUGACCGACCUGGGUGGCCCGCACCUGUAGAAAAUCUGCAAGGUCAGAGGCCUCCCACUCUGGUCCCAGAGCCUCGCGUACAAAGCAUCAUAGUGCAUGUGCCGCAACGCAUGAGAACAGAAUGUGAGAGCCAUUCUCCGGGACAUGGCACAGGGGACAUAUGCCGUUACCCGGACCAUGGCGUUUCAGCACCUCGGUCCCUGAAGGUAAACGGUCUCGGAGAAGCUGCCAAACAAAAAUCUUGAUCUUCAAGGGCAGCGGGGCCUUCUAGAGUGGGGAUAACCACGGGAGGACCAGCAUUCUGCACAGGGCCAGGUAUGCCGAACUAACAGAGAAUUCUCCCGAGGGAGAGAGGCUCCAAGAGAUACUAUCACUGACCGCCGAGGUCGAGAGGGGAAUCACUGCCAAGAGUAACUCCCAGUCCAGGACCUCAACAGGGCCAAGGGGUCGGCAGAAUGCAACAUGCCAUCCGUCUUCCAGAGCAGCAGCAGAAACCAGGACAGCAGGGUCGGCGCAGAUAGCAAAGAGCCUCGGGAAACGGAAUCGUAAAAGCUCUCCUUCCAACCAGGGAUCUAACCAAAACUGGGUCCCAGAUCCAUCGCCCACCGAGAUCCCCAAACUCAACCUAAUCUCGUGCUUAAUGCUCUGGAUAGACUUCCAGAACUGCGAACCAUUCGCGAGAGAGCAUGCCAAGAGUGGUCUGCCUCGAAGGUAUUUGGCCUUAAUCAAUUGAAGCCACAGACCCCCAUCUCCGUGCAGAAUCCGCCAAACCCAACGGAGCAUCAGGGCCACGUUCAUGAGGCGGGACGCAGGAAUGCCUAGGCCCCCUCAGUCUUUUGGCAAGCAGAUGUCUGCCCAUUUCACCAUGUGAUACUUGGGCCUACCAUUCCCUGCCUGCCAAAAGAAUCUAGCCAGUUCCUUGUCAAAGGCGUUGUGCACACCUUCGGGCAGGAUAUACAACCCCAUCAUAUACAUGGGGAGGCUAGCGAGGUUAGAGCUAAUGAGGAUGGAUUUGCUGCCUUUAGAAGUGAACCUGCCGCACCAGGGUUCCACACGGGAUGCUACUCAUCCCACAAGCGGAUCGAACCCGCUAACCAGAAUCCUGGACUCCGCCAGGGGCAUUCCCAAGUACGAGAUAGGGAAAGAAGCCAGCUUGAAGUUAAGGUUGUCUGAAUCCUGUGAUGCUCAGCCUCAGAGUAGCCGAGGACCACCACCUCACUCUUAUCAAAGUUAAUCUUAAGUCCAGACAUUUCCUCGAAGCAGAGCAAAAGGAACUUAAGAUUGGCAAUGUCCGAGUCCGAGCCUGAGACCAUGAUCAUGGUGUCGUCUGCAUAUUGGAGGUGUGACACCCCACCCCCCGGGAUGAGGUGACCAACCACCCCCUGGAUAUGCCCGGCUAAUCUCGCCUUAUCCAGGAUGCCGGCAAGGGUGUCCACGGCGAGAUUAAACAGCAGGGGGGAGAUAGGGUCCCCUUGCUUUACCCCCCUGGAAGCCCAAAAAAAGGGGCCUAGUUCACCAUUGAUAUUGAUGGCGGUGCUACCAGAUCGAACCAGCUGCAUAAUCCAGGUGCACCACCUCUCGUCAAAUCCGCGCCGCUGCAACACUAACCUCAAGAAGGACCAACCAAGACGGUCAUACGCCUUAUGGAAGUCCAAUUUGAGAAUGACCCCCUUCAAUCCCUUGGACGCCACCUCAUGGACAAUCUCGUGAAGGGCAAGAAUUCCGUCAUGAAUCUUCCUACCCUUCAGGAAUGCGGACUGAAGGGGGUGCGCAAUCCGUUCGGCCACAGGGGACAGACGAGUGGCGCAGACUUUAGCAAAAAUACGCGCCACCAUGUUAAUCACCGUAAUAGGCCUAAAUUGCCGAAUCUCUGCAGCCCCAAGUAGUUUGGGGAUGAGGGCAAUGACUCCAUAGUUAAUCCUGCCCAUGUCCAGAGUGCCUAUAUAGAAUUCAUGGAACAUGGGCAUGAUAACUGGGUGCACGGUCUCCCAGAAUUGCUGGAAAAAACCACCGGGAGGCCGUCUGGCCCCGGGGUCGAGCACACCUUCAUAGAAGCGAUUGUCUGGCCAACUUCCUCCGAGGAAAAUGGGAGAGUGAGUUCCGCAUUCUCCACGUCGGACACCUGAUCAGCUAGCGGCCAGAAGUCCUCACAGAGAGAGGAGCCUCCCCGCAGAUCGGCCGAGAAUAACUCCUUAUAGAAGGAGUAAAUAUGGGAUGAGAUGUCUUCCGGCUUUCCAGAACAGCAUCCCCAUCCCGGAGGAAAGGGAUGACACAUUUCCGCCUUCGGCCGUUGGCGAUGGCCUGAAAGUACGCGGUGUUUGCGUCCCCCUUGAGGAGCCAGUUCUGGCCACCUCGACGUUGCCAGAACAGUUCCUCGGAGCUGAAGAUGCCCAUGAGCUCAGCGUCGAGGGAUUAUGUCUGGAUCCAGUCAUCCGGGGACAGACCUGUACCGUCCGCCAAGUCAUCUAGGGUCUUAAUCUGGCCUAGCAAGGCCCCUUUACGGGCCCGGAGAUCAGCGCCCAAGUUAGCACCCCAGCCCUUCAUGGCCUGGCGCGCCAUCUUGGCACAGUGAUGCCAAAUGUCCACCGCACAAUAGACACGCGGCGGGGAGGCGGCAGCCCAAUGCCACUGGUCGCGGACCAACUCGCGGAAACCAGGCUGAUCCAACCAAAAAGUCUCAAAGCGAAAGCGCCGUGAUCUAGGGGGGAGCCUUCCCCCGACGAGAAGAGCAGGGGCGUAUGGUCUGAGCCAAUCUGCGUGAUGGCCCUAAGCCCGCACAGGAGGAACAUCACUUCCCACUGAGGCGACACAAAGACCCGGUCUAGAACACUCCGGACGGGGUCCGCCUGCUUGUUCCACCACGUGAACCUGGCCCCUACGCGAGCUAUCUCACGUAGCGCCAAGUCUGCAAUGCAGUCAUUAAAAAGACGCAUCUGGGGUCGAUCUACAUUCUGAGAGCUUUUAUCAGAAGCCCACCUAAUAAAUUAAAAAUCACCAGCCACCACUACAGGGGUGGUGCACCUAUCCACCUUAUUCUUUAGCUCGGCGAGGAAUUCUGCGGAGCGGGCAUGGUCUGCCGGACCAUAGACAAUAAUCACCUCCCAGCUGAGGUGGGUACGUCGGUCGGUGAUGGCCAUGCUCACAAUGAACUCCCCCCGGUCCAUGUCCUCCACCGAGAACGCCUCCUCCCGAACACCAAGCAGGAUUCCCCCAGAGUGGCCCGAUGCAGGGAGCCACUGCCAGGAGAACUGGUGGCGGGAGAGCCUCUGAAGCUCGAGCAUGCUAAAGUCCUACCGAAUCGUUUCUUGCAGCCCUACUAUGUCAAUCUCUUCUUGACGCAAAUACUCAACAAGUUGCCGCCGCCGGCCAGGGAGGCCGAAGCCCCUAAUGUUCCAACAUAGGAGCUUCAUUUAACAAUCUCGCCUGGAUUUCUAGGCCCCGCAAGCGGGGCCGAACUAGCCCGCCCGUCAACCUCGAGGCGGGGGAGCGCCUUAGAUGGACGACCCCGGUGUCCCCGAGAAGAGGGGACAUCGGAGGUCGCCGGGCCAGAGGAGGGAGCUCCGGGGCCUGACACUCGCUCCUCUCCACGUGUCUCAGUGGGGUUGAGACGGGUAGGCGGCCGCCCCCUGGGCUUCCGGACAGAGGGAAGCCCACCUAUGGGCGGCACAGGACCAACUGCAACCGCUGCCGGAGGUGCGCCACCAGCCCUGGUCUCUCUAUGACCAGGACCGGCGUGCACCGGGGGAGAGGGGGAGUUGGAGCGCGCGGCGAGACAGCGCGCUUCCGCUAACACCCCCUCAAGCCUCUCUUUCGCACAGAGGGCGGAGAUAUGCUCAAGAGGGGGACCUUUCUCCCCCCGAAACACAAUACUACUGUUCGCAGCCACAACAGCCAAAAGGGGCACCAAAUCGCUAGAGAGAACAGAAAACCAAGAACCAGAGCCAGAAGGGGGAGGAGAGGAGGCGUACCUGGGAACAGAUCGCGGGCCGCAGCACGCCGGGCCGCCAGCUCAGGCAUCGUCGGGACGCGGCCGUCCUGAAGGGUCCGGGACUGGCUGAUCCGAGCGCUCUGACGUGCCGACACGAUGGGGGAAGUGCCCUCCCGAGGCCGAGAGCGGGGCACAGGAGGGUACUCGGGCGCCCAACCAGGGUUGACGACCACCGGAGGGCGCGAAUCCGGGGACCCCAAGGUUGGGGAAGGGGGGAACUCGGAGAGCACGAGUAGCAAACCACCCCUGGCGAGCGCGGGGACGAAGCAGGGCAGACCUCCAUACCCACACUCACCUCCUCCUCAGCAGCGACCACCGGGAUAGGGGAAGCAGGGAGAGUGAUCUCCAUGCCUACCACCACCACCGGCGCCAAAGUACCCACCGUGGAGCCUCCUGCGAGCCCCGACUGGCCAACACCCGAGGGGGCGGGGGUGCGCCGACCGCCAGAUGGCUCGGGCGGAGCCCCGACCGUAUCAUCGUCCCCCUCAGAAGAAGGCCCCUCCUCCGACGAGCCCCCCUCCUUGUCAAGACCCCCGUCGGCAGGCUCCAGCCCAGGCGGGACCGGAUCUAGCUGAGCCGCUGAAGCCGGGGACUCGAGCUCGAAGGUCAGACGCCUGCCCUUGGACCCAAAGUAGAAGACCAAAGACAACCCGUCAAUCUCAGCAGGAGCCGGGCAGAGAAUCUCAAUGCGGGCAGGGCCAUCAUCCUCGAAAGAUGCCAGGUCGGCGGUGAUCAGUUUGCCCAUGGGUUUAGAGAUGGCUUUCAGAAUAUGACUGAGCUUGCCACCCCGCGGAGCCGCACUGCCCCCCCUUGGGAGGCCAUAGACGAGGACCCAAACCUUCUCCAAGGGAGGGACGGGGUCAGGCUCUGACAUGGCCGCCUGGACGCUGAUCGGGAGCUGGUUGAGGGGACACCGGAUAGGACCAUGCGAGCAGACCCGGAGUAGCUCGGCCGAGGGGAAGGGGACCGAGAAGACCAGGGGAGCCGUCUCAGUCACCUCCCAUGCGAACUCAGAGCCGCGAAAGUCGCCAAUGUAGGCCGCAAGCUCAUCCUGGAUGAGGUCAGACGAGAUCACCAGGCCAUCCGGGAUAGGCUGCUCGGGCUCCAAGGUGACCGUCGCUAGGUGAGGACGAGCAGCUACCUCCUCAAUCUCCGCAUCCACGAAGUAGAAGCUUCCCCGCUCAGUGCCAUACCCAAGAUAGGCAAGAAUCGUGGGGCACCGUGGGGGAGCCUCACACUCCGAGCGGUAGUGCCCGGUGCACCCGCAGUUGAUGCACAUCGUGUCCUCGCGGGAGCGCUGGCGGGUAGCACGAGCAGGGGGUCUAGAGCCUCAUGCUCAGGAGCCCCCUGAGCUCCUGGCGACGUCAGGCCGCCAGCACCGCCAACAGCCUUCUUCUUCUUCGACUUCAUCUUCUUCUUAACCGGGGUCGGGCGGGAAGCGGAGCAGCAGGCAGGGCAUCUGGGGACACGUGCCUAGAAGGCCCGUCGUCCCGGCACCAGUCCGCACCCGUCGCCCGAGAGGAGCGCCAGUCAGCCCGACGUCCAUCAUCACCGCGCCGCAUUGGCGGCCCGCCCCACCGCUCCCCCGGGCGGUGGUCCUGGCGAUCACGGGGCGGCCCGCCCCACCGCUCCCCAGGAAGGCGCCGCGGGGCGGUGAGCGAGGUCCCGAGCCGGGGGGUAGCGGGGCGCUGGCUCCUCACACGGCUGAGAUGCCGGAGUGGGGCGAGCAACCAACUCUGCACACAGAGUCGCUUCCCGGUCCAGGUCGGCCGCGCGGGCGGCCUCCAGGCGGCGACGGUCCCCCGGCGAACCCGGCAACGGCAGGCGGGGAUCCCUCUCCGGAUCACGAGGGGGAGGCGGACGGCGAAGGGAGGUCCCGGAGUAGUACUCCGGGGACUUCCCCGGCCGGGCAGACCCACCGCGCCCGGAACGGGACGAGGCAGCACCCCCUUCCAUGGCACGGUCACGGGCGGCGGGCAGCGCCUUCAACACCGCGCGAGCCUGGUCACGAGAGGUUGGCGUAGGGAGGAGCCCCUGCCCAGCCGGGAGAGGCCGCUUCGGUCGGGCCUGGCCGUUCCCGGCGUGGCGUGUCAUGAGCACGUCCCGGUAGGAGCGCCGUGGGGAGGGGAUGGGGAGCAGGUCCGGGCGCCGGGCAGCAGACGAGGGCGCGUCGCCGGCAGUGCAGGCGAGGACGGACGAGGUGGAGGGAGCUCUAUGGCUGACGGGACGGGGCGAGCGGGGCCUGGGGAACGGCCGGCGGGACGGGGCGAGCAGGGCCUGGGGAACGGCGGGGACGUCCGCGCCCGACGGGAGAGAGCGAGAGGAAAGGGAGCGGGAGCCCGACCGGAGAGAGCGAGAGAAACGGGAGCGGGACGGGGCGAGGCUGCGAGGUGGCGGUGGCGCACGCUCGGCAGGGUAAACCCUAUCCCCGAGCCGGUCCUCCCGACGCAGGCCUGGGCCGGGACGCGAGCAUGGGGGAGGCCCAGGUGGGCAUCGGCCCACUGCCGGUUAACCUUCUCCAGGACUCGGGAGACGCGGCGGGAGGCCCAGGCCAUCUCGCUAGCUGAGAUGGGCCCAGGCCCCGUUCGCAGCGGCCCAUGGGGAGAGCCGGCCCAUCCGUCCGCCAGCCGGCCAGGGGAGUUAGGGCAUGGGGGAGGGGACUGACGAGGCACUCGGGCACCUCCCGCUGCCGCCGGCACCGCCGCCGCCGCCACAGGAGGCAGGGCACCAGCGCCUGGUCGGGGCUCGCGGGGGCCCUCUCCGGCGACCGCCAUGGGGGACAACCCAGGCAGCAAACCGGCUCGGGCCAAGGAGGGGAGAGGGGGAACCACAGGGGGACAGUGCACCGGCGACCGCCGCCCGACCUCCUUCCCCGGCCGCCGGCGGGCAGGGCGCGCCGCAGCCAGGAACGAGCCGAGCAGCGGCGGUGCCAGGGACACCGGCAGCUCCAACCGGUCAUCACCAUCCGAAGAGGCCUCCAUGUCAUCGGGGUCGGGAUCGUCCGUCCAGUCCGCCCAACGUCGCGGCGACCGUUGGAAGCAGAGGGAGGGCGCCCCCGGCGGGGGAAGCGGGGGCAUCGCGCUCACGCAGCACGCCGGCCGACCGCCGUCAGCGGGCACCGCGCAGCUUCAGGUCUCGGCCCGCCGGAGAGGAGCCGCCCAUCGCUUCUUCUCUUCAGGAAUCUAGUCGCCGGCCCACAAGUGGGGUGAUGAACAAGCUAAUGCGAUUUAAAGUAAUCAUACCUCGUCCUAAGAAAUUAAAAGUGAAUUCAUACUGUGCAGCUAGAAAAAGAAUCAUAAAAGUAUACAAGCGCAUGUGAAAAGAAAAAGAUGAACAACUUGCCACUUCAUAUAGGUGAUCUAAUUAACUAAUUUAGGGUUCGAAUAACUUUGUUUCCCCACAAUCAUGACAAAGUGAACCUUUUGUUGAAAGCCGGAAUUCUGCAAUAAAGCUGCAAUGGUAGAUCUAUUUUUAUCAGGGAAUCUACCAUGCUGAGCUGCUGCACACAAGGCGUUCUCACUCACGAGUCGCAAAAAAGAGUUGGUGAGUUAUUAAAAAAGAAGACAAAGAGGACGAGUGAGUUGCACCAAAAUUAAAUACUUCCUUCAUUUCAAAAUAAAUGUCUCAAUUUUAUACUACCUCUAGUAUAAGAGCAUGGUUAAUAGUAUAGUCAACUGCUGGCUAUAAGCUAUCUUAUAGCCUAUCUUAUAGCUAGCUUGUACAAUAGUUAGCUAUAAAAGAGUACUACUUUUAUUCUAUAUGGCCCACCUUUCAUUUUCACAAAGCACCUACGAGCACGUGCUAGAGCUGGCUCUUUACGAAGAGCCCGCUUCCCUUCUCACUCCUAUUCUCUCUCAUCCAACUCAGCAAAAAUACAGUAUUUUAAUCCUUACAGCCUGCUGACUGUACCUUAUUGUACUUGCUCUAAAGUUGUACUCCCUCCGUUCCAAAAUAUAAGACCUUUUAGAGAUUUAUUAGAAGACUACAUACGAAGCAAAAUGAGUGAAUCUAUACUCUAAAAUAUGUCUAUGUACAUCCGUAUGUAGUUCAUAGUGCAAUCUUUAAAAUGUCUUAUAUUUAGGAACGGAGGGAGUAUUAAGUUUGAGGCGGUUAUAUUGAGACGGAGAGAGUACUAGAUAUACGUAAUCUGAAAUAGUGGAGUACCAAAAUUAUAGGCCUCUAUGAUUAGGAGGAUUUUCAUAAAACAUUUGGAAAGUUGUGAUACUUGAGAAUUUUUCCUUUAUCGCUUAUCUGAUUCGUAGAUUGACUCCUAUAGGAUUUUCUCCUAUGGAUUCCCUUUGACUGCACAUUUCAUGAAAAAAAACAUUAGUUUGCCAUGAUAAUUUUUCACCAGGAUGCACAAAAAAUGAACUAGUUCUGAAAGGUUUAUUGGCUUCAUUUGGAUUUACUUAGAAUCAGCUCAUAUUAGCAAUAAUUAAAGAUGGCCGAACGAUGGCGCCGUCUCCCUCCCGACCCGGGGCCGCAUGCAGCCCCUCUCCCUCUGCCCCCCUCCUCCUGUCGGUGCCCUCGGAUCUGGUCCGGGUGGUGUUGGCGGUGGCGGGAUCUCCAUUACCUGUGCGCGGACGUCCUUCCCGAGGCAGGGGAUCGACGGUGGUGCGGCUCGGCCUGCUGUGGUCCGACGACCUAGAGGUGGUGGCCGGCAGCCGACGUGGUGGUGGCGCUGCUCCUUGGCGGCGGGGUGGCCUAGCGGCACGGGGUGGCCGGCUGCACGACCCCGGGCCAGAUCAGGGCCCAUAAGGCCUCAUCUAGGUCCUAGGGGACUGGCUCUGGCAUGGACUUGCUGCCUCCUGUACAGGGAUGAGGAGGGGCGGGUUGAAAGGGGGGCCGCGAUGCCGACGGUGUGCUUUCUGCAGCGCGAUGGCAGGAGCUUUAUGGGUAUUUGUGGGGCCAUGAGCCUGGUUUGCUCCUGCCGAUGUGUCCGGUCGGUUACUGUCGUUGACGAUGGAAGUCGGACCCUCCCGCAGGCCGCCGGUGUUGCUUCCCCUAGUCCCGACUCUUCUUCUUCGAUGUGCAGGCCUCACUUCUCGGUGUCCUGGUGAGACAGUGUGGGUCGCUUCAAGAUUGUGCUUGCGCAGGGCGGUGGGUGGUAUGGUGGAGUCCUCCGGAACGCCCGUGGUGAUGCGUGGGGAUCGGGACGUACAAAUCCUUGUCGGCCUGUUCGACACCGACACGGUGACGCCUGAGGGUGUCGACGGACCUUCCUGGAGGGUGUCGGGUGCUACCCUUUCUUUGUCCUCGUUGUGUAUCGGGGGAAACCCUUGGCAGCAGCGCAGUCAUCGUCGUGUCCCUUCUUGGAGGUGUUGAUUGGUAUCGGCGCUUCGAAGGCUAGGAUCUUGGUGGAAGAUCUUCGAUGGGCGCAACGAUCGCGGGGCCUCUUCAUUUUUGUCGAUCCAUCAUUGUUGGCAUCUAUUCCUUUUGCAUUUUCUUUUUCCCUUCCUUUUGGACGUGAUUGUGAUGUCUCCGUCCCAGCACUUAUUGAUGGAUAUAUCGGGCAUUUGCUAUAUUAAUAUAGCGAGGCGAACGCGUGCUUCGAAGAAAGAUGGACGAACUUACCAACCAUAUUACUUGUGCUUAUUUAUUUUCUUCUGUUACAACGCACAAACAUAUUUGCUAUUUGAACUAAAUCACAUUGCCAAUUGCUCGUCUAUCAUGUCAAAUCAGAACCACGCAUCUAACCCUCCCAAGAUGUAGAUCGAUCGGUUUUACUCGGCAUUCAUUAUGGAUCGGAGGGAGUACUCCUAGAUCAUAUUCAAAAUUGCUCCACGCCACAAAUAAAACUGCACGGUACAUAUGGUAAAUCUGGGAAAGUGAUUUGCGUGGUAUGUGUGCCAUAAUCAACUGAAUUAUUGGACUAACCGCAUCAAGAUCGGAUCACAUCGAUCCUAUCCCCGUCGACGAGACUGUCCUCGAAUCAAAAUAUUUCUCCAAUGGACGCUCGUGUCCCACGCUCUGAAAGCGACGCCUUUUGUUUUGUCAGUUAAUUUUCACGUCAAGCUCACACCCACGCACGCACCGUGUAGGAUCCACGGCUCGACGCACCUCCCCUUCCCUCCCCUUCUCCCUAUUUAACGAGCUAGCCACCCCCACGCUUUUUGCACCUCAGCAAGCACCAACACACACACACACACAAGAAAUGGCGAUGGCUAGGACGACGACGCUCCUCCUCGUCGCCGCAGCUCUCCUCGCGGCCUCAUGCAGCGCAUGGGAGGUCAACAUCCGCAUGCCGACGUCGGCGGCGGACGUGGACGAGGCGGUGGUGGCGCCGCUGAUCCACGCGCUGCGGCCGCUGCUGGGCUCCGGCAAGCACGCCGGAGUGGCGUGCGACAGCUGGGUGCUGGGGGUGGAGGCGCACAACGUGCGGGACUGGAAGACGGUGCCCGCGAGCUGCGAGGGCUACGUCGGGCACUACAUGCUCGGCAGCCAUUUCCGCCGCGACUCCAAGGUCGUCAUCGACCAGGCCCUCGCCUACGUCGACUCCCUCAAGCUCGCCGGCAACGGCAAGGAGGUCUGGGUCUUCGACAUCGACGAGACCACCCUCUCCAACCUCCCCUACUACGCCAAGCACGGCUUCGGGUACGUACUUACACUCUUGUAUACAUUACAUAGACACUACUGAUUCUACGUGUAGUGCAUGCAUUAGACUUGCUAUUUACUGCAGGUACAUCCGACCGAGCAGGGACUUGCACUCAUCUUUUCACUAAGAUGAAGUGUAAAUAAUCUGACUAGAUAUAUAUUGUAAAAAAUCAACUCACUAGCUAGCUAAAAAAUACCAGCGAGAUCUGUAAUGAAUGAAAAUUGGAAAGCACAUAAGGAUAGAAAUAUUGGAAAUAAAAAGGAAUAUAAUCACUAAGUAGAAAAGUACUUUAAUCACAAGUGUUGGACACUUGGACAUCAUCAUUGCCAGUAGGACUCGGGCCAUAUGUCCCUAGUAUGAAUGGCCAACAAAACAAGAAGGAAACAUACUAUAUUUUGAGAUAGAGAUGUGAUGUUGAUGGGCAUGCGAAUGUGGUGGCCGGGUAGGACCGUAUAUGUUGUCCACUUGGCUACUUUAUGGAAAUGUUCUAAUUAUGUUAUGCUAGUCAACUCAUACUUUCUAAUUAUGUCAUACUUUUGUACACAUACACACUAUUGUAGUGCAUUAUACUCCCUCUCUAUCUAAAUACUUAGAGUUCGAAAGAACUAGGUGCAUUUCAGCAGGGGCUUGCACUGAUCUAUUCGUUCAGAUAAAAUAAAUAUCUUACUAGACCUCGUUCAAAUGAACUCACUAGCUAGAAAGCACUAGUAUCAUAAGAUUUCUAAUGAAUGAAAGUGGGAAAACAAAUGAGACUAGAAGUGGAAACAAGGAAUAUACUCACUAGCUAGAAAAGUAUUAAUUGGACGUGUUGGACACACUUAGGCAGCAUCAUUGCUGGUUACCUCAAAUCAGUCACAGAGACGGCCAUCAGGACCAUAAAUAUGUCCCGCCUAUGAAUGGUCAACAAAACAAGAAGGAAACAUAGUACUAUAGUUUGAGAAUAUGGUGGCCGGGGUAGGACCGUAUAUGUUCUCCACUUGGCUACUUUAUGGAAACGUUUAUUUCCAGCUGUCCUUAUCAGCCGAUACGUUCUAAUUAUGUUAUGCUAAUCGAUUGAUAUUUUCUGAUUAUGUUAUGCUAAACUUAGUUCAGAUGGAUAGUACUCCGAUACGUUUUCAUUAUUUUAUGCUAAUCUGAGUUUAGAUGGAUAUAAUUACUUAUUUUAGAAGAUGUGAGAGGUCAGAACAUCUUGUGCAUAGUUAGUAGUUACAUGCUACUCCCUCCGUUCCUAAAUACAAAUCUUUUAAAAGAUUUCACUAGUGGUCUACAUAUGAAGCAAAAUGAAUGAAUUUAUACUAUAAAAUAUGUUUAUAUACAUUCAUAUGUAUUACUCUAACCUCUAAAAAGAUUUAUAUUUAAGAAUGGAUGGAGUACAACUCUAUUCCUCUUUUCUCAAAUAGUUGAACACUAUUCCUCUUAGUUAAGAAGAUUCUCUUGAACCAAGAUGGAAACUAACUUGAAAUGUAGUAGAAGUCUAGGUGAUAUCUAGCCAACAUGAUGAUACCAGUUUAGUUCAAAACAUGAUUAACUAGCUCCGGAUAGCUUGCUUGUGUAUAUUUUGAAUGUGAUGAGGGAGCUAGUUCGUUGUGAUUUAAAAUAAACUGUACCUUGCCGUAAGAACUUUAAAGUGGAUCUACACUGGGCGGCUGGAAAAAGAUACAUAAAAGUAUAUAUAUGCGCAUCAAGGAAAAAAGAAAGAUCAAAAGCUUAUAACAGCAUGUCUAACUAAUCGAGCGGUUCAAAUAACUUUGUUUCAUCACAAUCAUGACAAAAUUAACCUUUUUUGUUGAAAGUCGGAACUCUGCAAUAAGGUUGCAAUGGUAGACCUAUUUUACCAAAGGAAUCAACAAAGCUGAGCUGCUGCGUACAAAGCUGUGCACGAUGAGAUUAAAUACUACAACUGCGUUUUCGGUCCAACAAAACAGUAGCGUGAUGAUGCCGGAGUGAACCUCGCUAUGUCACAUUCAUUGAUUUACUCCACUUGACCAACUUAAUUUACGACGUCCACAACUACGUACUGCUCAUGCACGUGCGUUACGUACAGAUACAGAGCAUCAUUGCGUUUACGUAUUGCCCAUCCCCUUGGCCAUUUGGCCACUUGGGCCAUAAUCUAGGUUGCCUAUGUUCCUUGGAUAUGCAUAAUUACUACUACUUCUUAGUAGCUGAUAUGAUUGAAUCUGCCAUUAAUCUAUCCUCGUAUACAUGUGCGUGCAGGGCUACACCGUUCAACGCGACCAGCUUCAACGCAUACGUGCUACAGGGGAGCGCGCCAGCCCUGCCGGAGACGAAGCGGCUGUACAACAAGCUGCGCUCGAUCGGCGUCAAGCCGGUGUUCCUCACCGGCCGGACUGAGGACCAGAGGGCCAUCACCGUCACCAACCUCCGCCGCCAGGGGAUCUCUGGGUGGAUGAACCUCUUGCUGAAGCAACCCGGGUUCAAGGGCUCUGCGGUGACCUACAAGUCCGGCGAGAGGCAGAAGCUGCAGGACGCCGGGUAUGUCAUCGUCGGUAACAUCGGCGACCAGUGGAGCGACAUCCUCGGCGCGCCAGAGGGUGCCCGCACCUUCAAGCUGCCCGACCCCAUGUACUACAUCGGCUAGGCCGCCUCUGGCUCGGCCGGGCAUGCUGCCAUUGAUUUCUCGAAUAAGCUCCAUGCUCUUAGUUAUAUGCAUGUUUCGUCAGAUAAUCAAUCCCCAAUUGUUGCUUGGUUCAUUUCCAUUGUUGAGAGCUUGAGAUCAAUUGCUACUAUGAAUUAGACGUGUAAGUGGAGAUGUUGCAUGCUGCUUAAUCAAUGGAUCUUUGUUAUGUUGUUUUUCUUUUUGCUCUAUUACAAGGAAUCCAUGGGCAUUAUUACUAUUUGAUAUCUUGUUCUUAAGUCUUAACUUGGAACUUAUAUUGCUGGUGGUAGAUUUUUCUGUACUAAAUUCUGCAUAUGGUGUAUUAAAUAUCAGGGACACAUAAUAUUGUCACACAUAUGGAAUCACUACUGCUAAAAUGACCAGUUCCUGAACCCAUCUGCUAUUGGGCCCAUUUUGGCCCGUCGGAGGAAGGGAUCAUCGUCGGUGGACAGGCAAAGAAGUGCUCGCAUAGACUCCUUCAAAAAAUGUGCCCUCAUAGACGACGGGUAUUUUCCACUGAUGUUGCGCAACUGGUGAUUGCAAUGUAGUUUGUGUCUUGCAUGUUGUAUGCAUAUGUAAUGAAUGUAACAUCUAAUAGUUAAUUAUGCAAGACAAAUAAAGCCCACCCUUUUCAGUAAGUUUAGAGCUAGAUUUGAGUUUGUCUUGGUCUCAUUUUUCUAAACAUACAAUCCUGGAGACAACUCGGUGAAGAAAUGAUGGUCCAAAUAGGUGUCUAACACGAAUCGUCAUCAAAGAAACCCUAUGGGAACCCACACUAUUCUAGUUACUUGGAUGAUUUGUAAUGAAAGAAAUAUAUGUGUCUUCCAAGUUAUUUUGACCAUGCCAAACAACAUCCCUGCUAAGAUAAAAAACGAUGUGGAGACUUGGAUAAAGGCCGGGCGAAGGAUCUGGGAAACAUUAUGCCAGGAGAGUAGUUCCGUUCUAUUAAUUUAUCCUUGGAUGACGUUUCGCGGAGAGAGGGGAGAGGGCGACCUGGGCGAUCUGGGAGCGUCGGGGGCCGCCGUGGGCAUCGUCGGAGAGGGGGAACAUCGGUACUCCUCCUCCGAUCUCGCAUCCCAGGCGCGGCGCCGGAGCCCGAUCUCGGCGGUGGAGGGACCUACUGUCCGUGUCCGAUGGAGAGUUGCGUACUCAGAGGCUGGUUAUUCGGAUCUGCGUGAGGGGCAGAUUGUUUUUCAUUCGGUUUCUCGUUGGAUGACACUACGGGAUGACGACGACGACAUCCUCGCCGGCUGCCAUCUCCAAGAGGAAGAUCUCAUCUGCGAAGGUGCGCAUUUCAUGGUGGAUAUCUUUUCUGUUACUUGUAUUUCUCCUUUCCUGCAGGUGAAUUCACAAGAACGGAUGCAGCCUGAUUUGGUGGACAUAUCUGACGAUGAUAAGAUCGCCUCACCAAGACUUCUCCCUCGAGUUGGGGGGAGGUUUUGGGUACUGGCUAAAGAUGAAGACGACGAGAACCACGACAUUGCCGUAGCACAGGAGGUCUCUGCUCCUUUCUGCGACCAGGUUUUCCAUCCGGCCACGAGGGAUUUUAUUCAUGCAUUGCCUGAUUCGAAGGUCGUUAAGGUAGUUCAACGCAAGGAGCGAUUGGCGAUUAAACCUUGGAGCGGUCCUCUGCCUAAGGUUCAUCUCGAACCAUUGCGGAUCUCGGACAUCAUACCUUGAGAGGCUUGGACUACUGUUUUGCCUAAGAGGAAGAACAAGGGUAAGAGCCGUAAAUUGCAGACGUCAGUCCCUGACAAGGUGCUGUCGUCCCGUGAUUCUCGCGAAUUACGUUUGAACGAGCCGAUGGCUGUUGUCGGGCCGUUGGGACCGGCGCUCGAGUUGGGCUUAAAAGAAACUGGGUAUAUGGCCCAGAUAGACUCCAAUCUAGCAAAACCUGCAAGUCCUACACCUACGGCUGCCCAGAUUUGCCUUGACGAGAAUCAUCAGGACUUGGUUUCUACGUCAAGUUUGCAUAUACCGAGUUCGGCUCUGCCUAGGGUUCCACGACGGCGUUUGCCUGGCUUCCCUUCGCUCGGGCCGGGUCGUGCAGUACGGGUUCCAGCGCUGCGGUGCAUGGCGGGGCGGGGAAACAAGCAGGCGCUGCCUCCCCCUCGACCACCGGCGGUUUCCCAGGCUGUGGGGCGGACUAGGCAGCAGCCCGUGAUGCCGCCAGGGCGCCAGACGGGCCAGGCUUCGGCUGCACCGGUUCCCGCUGCUGGUCAGGGUUUGCCCAACGCGGCUCGGGCGGAUACUAACAGGAUGCAGCCGAGAGGUCGAUGGGGGGAUGAUGGUGUUAAUGCAUAUGGUGAUGGACAGCACCGUGGAUCCUCUUCGUCUGGAGGAGGACGUGGCUAUGCCUGGCAGAGCAAUGGCAGCGCUGCUAAUGGGUUCGCCGGUCCUCCGGGACAGUUUGUGCCCCGGGUCUCGGGUCCUACUCACCCUAGGGAGGUGGAUAUAAGCAACAUUGGGGAGGGAGAGGUGGUGGCAGGAGAUUGAAGCCGCCCACGCCUCCAGUAGAGGUAGAUGCUGCCAAGACAACGGCGGGAGUACCUUCCAAUGCUCCUAAGGGGAAUACACUGCUGCCACCUGUUUCCGAGGAGGAUCCUUCCUUGGCUGACAAGGGAGUAUCGCUUGCGAAGGCAGAGGGGGGGGGAUAGGCCCUCCAAGUGGGCACGCAAAAAAGAAAAGAUGACAUGCUACCGUUGCAGUGAGACGGGUCAUUUUGUUUCCGAAUGCAGCGCGGAUCUGUGUGACUUUUGCUUAAAGCCUAAGCAUGGCUCAGCUAAGUGCCCCCUUACUGUUGGUCCUAUACAUGUCGUCACUUUAUAUGGGGUUUGCUGCCAAGAGUUGAUGUUCUUUGAAUCUCCCUCUGCUUCAACGUCGUUGCAUGUGCCAGACGCGGCCUAUACGGGGACGGUUACGGUGGCUCGUGGUAAUAUGUCAGCUGAGCAGGUGGUGCAACAGUUGAGGGAUCUUGUUUCAUCAAUGUUUCGGUGGGAACUGGUCCUUAUAGCAGAUAAUGUGUUCAAGGUUGUGUUCCCUACCAAGGAGGACCUAGCUAGACUGCUCAAGUUUGGUAUGUGUCGGGUUCCUAGUACUAGUUGUGUGCUAGAGUUCGAUGCUUGGAAGAAUGAGGAGCCAUAAGGUGUGCCACUUCCUCAGAUUUGGGUUCGUUUUUCAGGGGCCCCGUCAAAGGCUCUAAAUGACUUUCUGGUGACUUGGAGUUUGGGAUCUUUGAUAGGUAAGACUGAGAGGGUGGAUAUGCAAUAUACUCGGGCUAAAGGUGUUGCCAGGAUGAGGGUUAGUGUAAUUGAUAUUGCGCUAGUACCGGAUGAAGUUAUAUGGACUUAUGAUGGAAUGCGGUACACCUUGCAACUCGAGAUCGAGAGUCCGGAUAUGUUCGAGGAGGAUGGGACAGACAAAGAUACCGAUAUGGCUGACGGAGAUGAUGCUUCGGGUUCUAGGGAAUCUGAUAAGAAGGAUCAACAGCCAGUUAUUACAAAGAUGGUGGAUCAACCUACCUCAGGUUCUGCUACAGGGGCUGCUCAACCAGUGUCUCUUCCCUCGACGCAGCUUAGGUUCGGUUCCUUUGAACCAGCCUCGGCGCCAGAGAUUCGAGGGAGGGCUUCAGAGAAGUAUGAGCGGGAUCUGGUUCAUCUUAAGCCGCAAGGAAAGCAAGCAAAGUCAGGGUCAUUCAGUAUUAAAAAUCCUAAGGAAGCUUUGACCGUAGUUUCUCUUGGGGAAUAUUUUGUUGUCGCUAGGAAUGCUGAUACGGGCCGGUCUCAGCAACGUGAUGCAGUGCAGCCAGCAAGGCAUAUGUUGUCCGGGUUGGGUACUGUGCCGAGGGGUGCGCCGCCUGGGUCGCCUAGGCAGGGUUCGCUGCUGCUGUAGAGUCCAUCGCCAGCCACCCAGGGGGUUGCUGUUUCUCGGCCAGCCACCCCUGGGGCUGCUACCUUUUUGCCAGCCACACCGAGGGCAAUUACAGCGACUCCUCCUCCUGGCCUACUUCCGUCGUUGGAUGCUGCUGCGAGAUCCACCCCUGCUGCUGGUUUCAUGUCAGCCGAGAGAUCAACCCCUGUUGCUGCGGUUCCUAUCGCUACUAUGGCUGCAACCGGGGCAUCAUCUUUGCGGGUGUCAGGGCUGGAGGGUACUGGUCAGGGGCACCAUGGCGAGGUCGUUGCACCGCCGUCUGUUGAGCAGGUCAUAGCAUACGGAGGUAUUCAAAGUCCGCUGACUUCGGACAGGAGGUCCAGUCGGCGAAUUCAGAAUCAACCUGAUGCGGAUUAUUUACAGAUGGGACGUGCUAUGCGUGCGGCUAAAAUGAGAGAUGUCGAAACUGAGACAGGUAUGUCUUUCAGCAUUAACGAUUCUAUUCUUCAUUUUUCUCCUCAAGAUAUUCUAGAUAAGGCAGGUUCUAUUGGGGUUACAUUGGGGAACAAUGGCCGAGAAAUUUCGAAAUCUAUUAAUGAUCUAUUAGACUUAGAGGUCGAUAGAGCGUUAGACUUAGUACGAAAUUUAGCGGCAGUUAAACCAAUGCAAGAGUCUGAAGUUAACGAUCUAGGGGGACUGAAUUCUCUUUGUGAUAGUCUGGCCCCGUCAGUGGAUAUAGAGGAUGGUGCGGGCGAGGUUUUAGUUGGUCAAGGGAUGUGUGCCCAAUCUCAUAAGGCUGAGCCUCAAUUCUCUGGUUAUAUGGACCAGGAGUUGCUGGAAAAGCCGAAGCGUCCAUGGAGACGGAAAGUGUAUCCGGUCUCUGCGAUACGUAGAAGUGCUAGAUUUAAGAUUGCCAAAAAAAAUUAUGAUGAUUAAUGAGAGGAAUUUUUUGGAAUAGCAGAGGUCUUUGAGACUUGGCUAAAAGAAGAUUUCUAGCAGAGGCUACUUUAGAGCAUCACCUUGAUUUUAUCGCAGUGAUGGAGACAGGGAGGGAUAACUUUACGUCUCAUUUUUUAAGUUCUCUAUCAGCUGGGGUGGAUUUUGACUGGCACUGUCUCCCUCCAAGAGGAAGGUCCGGUGGGAUCUUACUUGGGGUCCGUUGUGACACUUUUCAAGUGCGGGAGGUGGUGUUUGGGGAGUUUGCAGUCAAAUUCAAGAUUAGAUCUAAGGAUGACGGGUUCCAAUGGGCUCUCGUUGCCGUCUAUGGCGUAGCACAGCCAGAUCUAAAGCCUGAUUUCCUAGCAGAUCUGGUCAGGAUUUGUGAUGACAAACUACCAUUGCUGGUAGGUGGAGAUUUUAAUAUUAUUAGGCGGGCUGAUGAAAAAAGUAGUGUUAAUUUUGAUGGAAGAUGGCCUUUCAUGUUUAACACAAUUAUUGAGAGCUUAGAUAUGAGGGAGACCGCUCUAUCAGGUAGGAAAUAUACCUGGGUGAAUGCUCUACAGAAUCAGACAUUUGAAAAGUUGGAUCGUGUCUUAACUAGUGUAGAGUGGGAGCAGAAGUUCCCUCUAGUAACUGUUAGAGAACUUCAACGCGCAAUCUCGGAUCAUACUCCUCUGUUGCUGGAUUCCGGUGAGGCUAGCCAUAUAGGAAACAAACAUGGAUUCUCUUUUGAAUCAAGUUGGUUCACAAGGGAGGGGUUCAUGGAUAUGGUCGAGAGGGAAUGGAAUACAGAGGUCAGGGGCGAAACCUCUAUAGAAAGAUGGCAGUAUAAGAUUAGACAUCUUAGACAGUAUUUGAGGGGCUGGUCUAAGAAUGUGUGUGGAAUAUAUAAAGAAGAGCAAGAUAAGCUCCUCAAACUUAUAGACAAUCUAGAUCGGAAGGCUGAGAGUUGUCUUCUGGAUGCUAACGAAAGGGAUCUCAAAUUCGAGGCCGGACAGCGCUUGCGUAUUCUCCUAAGAGAGGAGGAAAUGAAAUGGGCGCUUGAGCCAAAGUGAAGGCCAUAGUUCUUGGAGACAAUAACACUAAAUUUUUCCACUUGAUUGCAAAUGGCAAGCAUAGGAAAAAGAAAAUAGUGCAGCUUGAGCAAGAUGAGGGUACAAUACUAGGUCAUGAGAAUCUAAAAUUGUACAUCUCUAACUACUACAAACAUUUAUUUGGUGCUCCUGAGCAUAGCUUUGUGACUAUGGAUGAGCAAAAAGUGGCGGAUAUUCCUCAAGUUGGAGAGGCUGACAAUGAGAUUUUAUCCGCUCCUUUCUCAGAGAAAGAGGUGUUUGACGCGAUAGGGAAUAUGAAGAAUGGAAAAGCUCCCGGUCCAGAUGGGUUUCCGGCGGAGUUUUACAAGCACUGUUGGCAUAUUAUUAAGAAUGAUCUUAUGUCAAUGUUUGCUGAUCUUUUUAGUGGUCACCUUCAACUCUUCCAUUUGAAUUUUGGUACUAUUACACUCUUACCAAAGAAGGAAGGGGCCACGCGGAUUGAACAGUUUCGUCCGAUCUGUUUGUUGAAUGUUAGCUUCAAGAUUUUCACAAAGGUGGGAACAGAUAGGUUGACUAAGAUGGCCCAUUCGGUGGUACAAUCUACGCAAACAGCUUUUAUGCCAGGACGGAAUAUCCUUGAAGGAGUCGUUGUCUUGCAUGAAACUCUUCAUGAAAUGCACUCGAAGAAACUAGAUGGGGUUAUCUUUAAAGUGGAUUUCGAAAAAGCUUACGAUAAAGUCAAAUGGUCGUUUCUCCAGCAAACCCUACGUAUGAAGGGUUUCGAUGAGCUGUGGCGUAGGCACGUCGAUUGUUUUAUAAAGAAGGGAAGUGUGGGUGUCAAAGUGAAUGAUGAUGUGGGUCAUUUUUUCCAGACACUAAAGGGUCUCCGCCAAGGAGAUCCAAUGUCUCCCAUUUUAUUUAACAUUGUUGCUGAUAUGUUGGCACUGCUGAUUAAGCGGGCCAAUGAGAAGGACCUUGUAAGGGGCUUGAUCCCUCAUCUUGUUGAGGGGGGGAGUCUCCAUUUUACAAUAUGUGGAUGACACGAUUCUUUUUUUGGAGCAUGAUCUCAGUAAAGCCAGGAACCUCAAACUUAUCCUAUGCUUAUUUGAACAGCUAUUAGGGCUGAAGAUAAAUUUUCAUAAAAGUGAAUUGUUUUGCUUUGGAAAGGCCAAGGAUGAGCAGCUCACGUAUAAUCAAUUGUUUGGUUGUGCUAGCGGGAGUUUACCUUUUACUUAUUUAGGGAUCCCAAUUCAUCACAGAAAAUUAUCAAAUAAGGAUUGGAAAUGUAUCGAGGACCGUUUCGAAAAAAGUUGAGCUGUUGGAAGGGCGAGCUCUUAUCGUAUGGAGGAAGGUUGAUACUGGUUAAUUCAGUAUUAACAAGUAUGCCUAUGUUUCUCCUAUCCUUCUUUGAAGUACCUGUUGGGGUACGGAAAAGGUUGGAUUUCAAUCGAUCACGGUUUUUCUGGCAAAGUGAUGAGAUCAAGACUAAAUACAGACUCUCGAGAUGGGACAUCAUGUGUAGACCUAAGGAUCAAGGAGGUUUAGGGAUUGAAAAUUUAGAGAUUAAAAAUAAAUGUCUACUCAAUAAAUGGCUGUCUAGAUUAUCUAUGGAGACAAAGGGGUUGUGGGUACAAAUUCUGACGAAUAAAUACCUACAAAACAAGACUUUGGCGCAGGUUACAUUGAGACCAACUGAUUCACCGUUCUGGAAGGGGGUCAUGCGGUCUAAGAAUGCUUUUUUUCUCAGGUCUAAGUUUGUUAUUGGCAAUGGCCAAUCUACUAGAUUUUGGGAGGAUACUUGGUUGGGGGAGACGCCUUUAGCCAUGCAGUAUCCGCAACUCUACCAUAUUACACAAAGGCGUCAGGCGACUGUUGCGUCAAUUUUGCGCCAGGUUCCUCUAAAUAUUCAGUUAUGUAGAGCCUUAAUAGGUAACACAUGGUCAAGCUGGCUGCAUCUAGUGAGAAGGUUGUUGGAUAUUACCCUUACUGAGAACCCUGAUAGUGUUCGUUGGAAGUUGACCACUGAUGGAGUUUUCUCGGUAAAAUCUAUGUAUUUAGAUCUCAUAGAUUCUGUGUCCAUCCCGAAGUCCUUACAUAUUUGGAAGGUCAAAGUUCCACUUAGAAUUAAGAUCUUCAUGUGGUUUGUUCGCAAGGGGGUUAUUCUAACUAAGGAUAAUUUGGUCAAACGUAAAUGAAAAGGUAAUACUAGAUGCAGUUUUUGUGAGAACGAUGAAACAAUUAAACACCUCUUUCUGGACUGUCCUAUGGCUAAACUUCUAUGGCGAACACUUCUUAUUACUUUCAACAUUAAGCCACCCAAUAGUUUAAACACGUCAUUUGGGACGUGGUUAAGAGGGGUCGAUGAUAUAACUGCUAGCCUGAUCCGAGUAGGAUCAUGUGCACUUCUGUGGGCUACAUGAAACUGUAGAAAUGACUUGGUAUUUAACAAACAUCAACAUAUUCACUUUUUGCAGGUCAUUUUCAGGGUUAUUGCCUUGAUCCGCACAUGAUCAUUACUCACUCCUGUGGAAGCCAGGGAGCCUAUGGUUACUGGGUGUGUCCGAUGGAAGAUGGUAGCUCAGGUUAUCUUCAACCGUUUUGGAUGACGGCAUAUUAAUAGGAUAGGUGUUUAGUCAUCUAGGCUUAUUUCAAUGCCUCCCGGUUGUGGCGACGACGCCGUGUAUCUUUUUGUUAUUUUCUUCAUUUACUUAUCUGAAGACUCUUUGUACUUUUCGAGGAUUUGGUUUUGAAAUAAUAUAUGGCCGUAUGCAUCCUUCGAUGCCGAGGCCGGGGCUUUGCCUCCUUUUCAAAACAAAAAAAUUUAAUUUAUCCUUUCAUUGUUAACCCCUUUUUUGGACUGCAGUUAUUCUAACUCUCUUUUAAGUAAUGUAAUAAGGCAUAUCUUUUUCCUCCAUUUCGAGACAAAGUUCGGACCUAGCACAACUGUAACAUCCGCUCUACAUCGACUCACUCUAGAGAGACUAGUCUUGGCACCUUUUGCAGAACAUGAUUAGUGUCCUGACAUGGAGUAUUUUAGCAUAUAAUGGUCAACUCUCAAGCACAUAUCACUUCAAAUUGCAUUGCUGAAAAAGAACAUACACUUGCACGUUUUUCGAACUUUCACGCAACAAUAAAGUAACUCAAUGAAAUAUUAUGAUACACUCAAAAACAAUAAUAAGCACUCAACAAAAUAUCAACAGUUUUAUUUUGAUGGACGUAGUAGGACUGUAUCUGUUGUCCACUUGGCUACUUUAUCAACAUAUUUAUUUCAACCACCCUGAUCAACAGACAAUAUCUAAGUAUGUUAUGCUAAUUGAGUUAAAAUGGAUAAUCCUUAUUUUAUAAGAUGCAAGGAGUCGAAACAUAUUGUGAUUAGUUGCAUGCUACUAGCCUACUACAACACUAUUGAUCUUAGUUAAGAAGAUUAUCUUGUGAUUAGACGAAGUCUAGAUCAUCUAGCCAAGUAUGAAAAUAUUUAAAGGAGCGUGUGGAUACCUUUUCUUCUUUAAUAAAGGAAAAAAAAUUGUGUAUAUAUGCGAGUCUGAAAACAAAGAAAAGAAAGAUGGACAGCUUAUCACAGCUUCACAUAUGUCAUCUACUCCCUGCGUUCCUAAAUAUAAGUCUUUUAAAAGAUUUUACUAAAAGACUAUAUAUGAAGCAAAAUGAAUGAAUCUACAUUUUAAAUAUAUCUAUAUACAUUCUUUAGAAAGACUUAUAUUUAGGAACGGAGGGAGUAAUAGCUAAUUGAGGGGUUCAAAUAACUUUGUUUCGCAAUAAUGAUUGAAAAUCAACCUUUUGUUGAAAUCCGAAACUCUACGUACGGUAGACCUAUUUUUAUCAAGGGAAUCAACAAAGAUGAUCUGCUACAUAAAAAUGCGCGUAUGGUCACUCACGAGCCACAAGGACGAUGCUUGAGUAGUGAUGAGUGAGGUGCACGAUGAGAUUAAAUAUUCCAACUAGUGUAACCGAAAAGUAUAGUAAGUUAGACAUCGUUCUUGGUCCACGAAAAUAGUGGCGUGAUCGAUGACAUCUUGAUGCCGGCCGGAGACUAGGAUCUGGCUGUUUGAUAGGGUACCAAUUAAUUUAUACCCUCCACUUGGCCAACUUACUUCAUCACCAGUCGAUAACUGUAUACGCAUUGUUCCAUAUUCAUGCAUGCACGUGCUUACAGCCCAAGAGCAUUGGGUUUAGCUGGUGCUGUCUGAUCCGCUUGAACUCGUAGAAAAAGGGCCUUUGGCCUGGACCCUUUAGUCCCAGCCUGUCUUUCGGUCGGAACUAAAAGCCGGCCACGUCAUCCCAAAUUAUCAGUUUAACCCGCUUGGCCACCAUUUAUAUCAUUAAAAAACCUCAAAUUUGUAGCGGGGUGAGUUUACAUGUUACCUUGGAUCGCCAUUGUUUUUUUGGCCCUGCGUGUAACGACGAUGGCCGGAGUAGGCUCGUGCAGAUUAGUCCUCCUCUUGGUAAUUAAGGAGUAUAUAUCCACUAGCUAGUGUCUGACAUUCAGAACCUCCACUCGAUGGCCAGAGUAUUUGAUAUUUAUACUCUCCUCUUGGUAAUUAAGGAGUGCAUAUCCACUAGCUAGUGAUCUAAACGUUUCUAUAUUAAUUUAUGGAGGAAAUAUUUAAUAAGGUUAUUACCCAACAUUACAGGCGCCAUCCGAUAAACCAUAUCACUUUUUUUUGCGAGGACCUAAACCAUAUUCAAAAUGCAGAAUUACUGGCACGUGGUGUAGUUUACGGAUCGAGCCUCCUCCUUCGUGGGCACCAUAGUAGUCAUGCAAGACAUCGUAGUUAUAUAGUGGUCAAGUGUGAGUUAUGAUUGCUUGUAUAUUUUUUAUGCGAUUUAUGAGUCAAUAAAAGUGCUUUUAUUGAGAAAUGUAUCUAUAUUGAUUAUUGUUGAACCUGCCAUUAAUGUAACUAUUUACACAUGUGCGGGGCCAUGCCGUCCAACACGAGGAGCUUCAAAGCGUAUGUGUGGGAGGGGAGUGCGUCGAUGCUGCAAUGACGAACUGCUCUUGGUCGGCGUCCAGCCGGUGUUCCUCACCGGCCAGACCGAGGACCAUAGGGACAUCAUCGUCACCAACCUCCACCGCCCGAGUUCAAGGGCUCCACGGUAACCUACAAGUCUCAUGAGAGGCAGAAGUUGCCGACGACCUGGUAUGUCAUCGUGGGCACCAUUGAUGACCAAGGGAACGACAUCCUGGGGGUAUCCGGUGGGGGGCACACCUUCAAGUUGCCCGACCACAACGGCUAGGCUACAUAGAGAUCGGCCAUGCCUUGAUUGAUUUCUUGAGUAAGCUCUAUGCUUUCAAUUGUAUGCAUGUUUAGUAAACAAUCCCUCCCUAGUUGUUGCUUUGUUCAUUUUCAUUGUCGAGAACUUGAGAUCAAUAGUUAGUAUUUAUAAGACGUGUUACGCUAAAAGUUGCAUGCAACAUAAUCAAUGGUUUGUUGGUUUUAUUGUUUCUCUCUAUUACGAGAUCCAUGGGCUAUAUUGUUGUUUGAUGUAUUGUAAUUCUUAACUUGGAUCUGUAAUAUUGAUCAUGGUGUACUUUUUAACUAAAGAUUGUUGAUGGUGGAAUUAGUAUGAAAGGUACAUAGUGCUGUCACACAUAGGGUGUCACUACUCCCAUUUUGGCCCAACAGAAGGAAGGGUCAUCAUUUACGGGUCACCAGACUGCGUUAGUAUAGAGGCAACAAGGUAUUUUAACCAUGCCGAACAUCAUUAUUGUGAAGAUUAAAAAUGAGGCGGCAACUUGGGUCAAUUUUUGGGGUGGAGGAUUUGAGAAACACUAUGCCCCGUGAGAAACUCCGCUAUAUUAUUUAAGUCUUUCGUUUUUAGCCUCUCUUUUUUCGGCAGCGGUUCUUCCAACUCUCCUAGUAAAUAGAAAGGGGGAAAGAAAAUCUUUUGCCUCCAUUUUGAAAAAGAAAAGGUUGAGACUAACAUCCCUUUCCAUCGACCCACUCUAGAGAGUGUCUCCAACCUUGUUUUCUUGGCCCUUUUGCAUGACAUGAGUAGUGUCCUAACAUGGACUCCUUGAUGUGUAACGCUCAGCUCUCCUGACCAAAUCGCUUAGAAUUACAUCACACGCAAAAGUUAUAUACUUUUGCAUGUUUUUCGCACGUCAAUGCAACAUUAAAAAUUUCAAUGAAACAUUAUGAUACAUUUUGAAACAAAAAAGAACUCAGCAAAACAUACUGUGGAAAUAGAAAAUUUUUGCCAACAACUAAAAAAACGCAGUCAUCAAUUUAGCCGCAACAAAAAUAAGAUGUUAGAAGUCAGAACAUCUUGUGCAUGAUUAUAUGCUAUAGGACUAUUCAUUAGAGAAACUAGUUGGGUAAAACUUUCUCCUUUUUCCGAAUCUCCUUUUUAAUGUGGGGAAAAAGCUAAUGCAUUGUGGUUUAAAGUAAAUAUUACAUCGGCCUGGGAAAUUUAAAAUGAAUCUAGACUGGACGGCUACAAAGAGAACCAUAAAAGUAUUCAAGCACGUCAGAAGAAAAGGAAAGAUAAAAUUCAAAAAAGAAAAGAGAAAAGGAAAGAUGAACAACCUAUCACUUGCCUCAUAUCUUUACCUAAUAAUAAAGAGGCUAUUGCUUCCGUCGAAAAACCCACCGCUGCCGUUUUUUAAAAAGCCCCCUGUCUUUUAGGUAAUUAAACCCGCAGUACCUUUUUAUGUGUUACGAACAUGAAAACGUUUCAUUUUUGCAGGGAGCCUCCCAUGGCAUUGGAUAAGAGAAACGCAUCUGGGCUGACGAAAACGCACGAGAGGGCUAUCGCUUCUGCCCUCAUAAUCCCACAUCGAUACUUCACAGAUAAUUUCAUCACUUUAUAUACAUGCGCCUUGGUGAUUUUACAAGAGGCAACGGAAAUCAAGAGAGGAACAAAUUCGAGAAGAAGAAAUUGAGAUGACGCAAACAGAGGUGGAGCUGCGAGACAGAGGGGGCUCGGGGCGAAGGAAAGGGUCGGGCGCCGGCGAUGCAUACGUGGAGGUGGGGGCGUCGGGGUUAGAGGAUUCAGGCAACCGGCGGGGUAAGUCUUGCCGGAGACUGGCCCCAUAGGCCGACCUCGCAGCAGCACACCAUGGGAGGUGGUCGCGAGGUGCAGAGGUGGGAGGCGGUGGAGGAGCGGAGGAGGAGGCGAGUGCGGGCGCCAUUGGAAGGGGGGAGUCGGGGAGAUUGGGGAUCCUGUGGGGCUCUCUCCCCUAGCGGCGCGAGGUGGAGGAGAGGAGGGGGGCUGGGGAUCGGGCUAGGUUAGGGGAUUUAGGAGUGGGUAAGGCUAUGCCUUGGCACGCCUAAUGGGUUGUGCACUACUACUCAUCUCUCUUUCCUUUAAUUUCUUUAUCUAAAUUCUUUAAUUAAAAAUAUGUGGUAUUAUUUUUUUUCCGUUGCAACGCACGGGUCCUUUUGCUAGUAUCAUCUAACAAAUCGAGGGGUUCGCAUAGAUCUGCUUCGCCACAUAAUAAUAUAAUCAUGACAAAAGGCUACCUUCUGGUGAAAGCAGAAGCUCUGCAAUAAAGCUGCAAUCGUAGACCUAUUUUAUGAAGGGAACCAACAAAUCGAGCUGCACAAUCCAAUUAAAUACUAAUUCCUCCGUUCCUAAAUAUAAGAUUUUUUAAAGAUUAUAUUAUGAACUACAUAAAAAGAAAAAUGAAUGAAUCUAUAUUUUAAAAUAUGUUUAUAUACAUUUGUAUGUAGUUCAUAGUUAAAUCUAUAAAAGGUCUUAUAUUUAAAAACAGAGGGAGUAUAAGUACUGAGUAAGUUUGACAUUUGUUCUUGGUCCAACAAAACAGUCGUGUGACCCAUGACGAAGCGGCGAUGCCGGAGUUGGAUCUCACUGUCUGAUAUUUAUCGAUUUGUGCCCUCCACUUGGCCAGCUUAAUUGAUCACCAGUCUCUUUCAUUGACAAUUAGUGCUGCUCAUACACGUGCGUUGCAUACAGAUGAUAUAUUGGGUUUAGGUACGGCUGUCUGAUCCACUUGGCCACCUUCUCACUAGAAAGCUCAAGUUUGCAGCGACGAGUUUGCAUGUUACUACAUUGGAUCGCCGUUGUUUAGCCCUGCGUGUGUGAUGAGGGGCGGAGACCCGGAGCAGACCCGUGCAGAUUCGUAUUCCCUUGGUUAUGUUUUAUUCUGUAUAUUAGGUUUGUAUAAUGUAAAACCUAAAUUUGCUUCGCCACAUAAUAUAAAAUAAUAUAAUCAUGACAAAGGCUACCUUCUGGUGAAAGCAGAAGCUCUGCAAUCAAGCUGCAAUCGUAGACCUAUUUUAUGGAGGGAACCAACAAAUCGAGCUGCACAAUCAAAUUAAAUACUACUCCCUCCCUUUUUAAAUAUAAAAACUUUUAAAAAUUAUACUAUGAACUAUAUAAGAAACGGAAUGAGUGAAUCAAUACUCUAAAAUACUCCCUCCGUUCUAAAAUAGGUGUCUUAACCUUAAUACAAUUUUGUACUAGAUCUAGUACAAAGUUGAGACAAUUAUUUUAAGACAGAGAGAGUAUGUCUAUAUAUAUUUAUAUGUAGUUUAUGUUGGCUUUGGAUCCGUAGAUUAAUUCACCCAGUAGCUACCACAUACGUGCAAGCUAGCCUCUAAGCUAGCAAGCAGGCACACAAGUGGAUGGAUAUCCAAUUCGUAGAAAUAGAACGACGUACGACGAGCUAGCUAACUGAUUCGAUCGUCUUGACUGCUCGGAAUGUAACUCGUUGAAAAACUGAUCGAUGGAUUGCUAACAGGCUCGUAUCGAGCCUGGUACUUUUUUAUUGCGUUUUGAUCUCUGGUGUUACAAGCAACAUCUCUAGGAUGCCUUUUAUACACAUCCACAAGGAACUAUGAAAAUAGACUAGGACUAGGUAUCCUAAUACUACUAGAACUCGGUUUGAUUUUCUUUCCUAAUCCUAUGUGUACAAGGCAACGUGAUUAACUCACAUUCACCCCCUAAUCACGAUGUCCUUACUUCCGACCUGGGUCCCAAACACGAUUGCUGCUUCUCAUAAAUGUUAUCAUCGACAUGGCCUUUGUCGUCCCUUGCAACAUUUUAUGGACCGUCUUUACUGUCGUCGGCUCGUCCGUAGCUCGAUGACAACACUCCUUUUUGGUCGUGUCUUCAAUCUUCAUCUCUUCUUCGGUGCUUUGUAGACUGUCCUUCGGAUCAUCGAGGGUACAUCUUUUGAACCUGAGCGUGACCAUACUUUGGUCUAACUUUGAAUUUCAAGCUCUUGGCGCUUGCAUCAGCCCGUAACUUUGAACCACAAGGAAGAAGUACUUCUUUCCUCCGUGAGUUGCUGGGGUGAUAGGGCCACAUAGAUCACCAUGGAGCAGCUAGAGUGCAUCACUUGCACGAUAGGUAGACUGAGCAGGGAACGGCCUGCGGUGCUGUUUUCCAACCAAGCACCCGUCACAUACUCGAUCAACAUGGUCGAUAACUGGCAUCCCGGAUACCAUCUCCAUCUUUGACAUCUUCUUCAAGGCGUAGAAGUUAACAUGUCCGAAUCAUCAUCACUCUUGGCGAGCCAACACUCCAGUUGAGAUUGAUCAAGGUUGAGGAUAUAGAGCCUGUUCCGUGUGCGAGUAACACGAGCUAGCACGUUUCGGAGGUUGUCGAAGAUCGUCAUUACUCCGUUAUCGAUACCCACCUUGCAUCCAUUCUCGUCAAGCUUCCCAAUAAAGAUGAUGUUGUUGUGAAGCCGUGGGAUGUAGUACACUCCGGUAAGUAUGCGAUGUUCGCCUGUGAGACCCUCGAAGAGGACAGAUCCUUGCCCACAAAUCUCCACAUUUGAACCAUCACCGAACUUGACUGAGCCUUCAACAUCGUAUUCCAGCUCGAGGAAUUUCUCCUUGCACCCCGUCAUGUGGUUACUGGCACCCGUGUCGAGAUACCACAACACAUUCUGAUCACCAGCUAACUUCGGUGUCACUUUGUUUUCAUGAAGUAGCACCUUCCGGCUUGGUUUCACAACCACCGUUUCAGCGAGAUCACAAACUUCGGCCAUCAGAAGACCUGGACCUUCGUCUUCCUCCUUUGCCAAAUUUGCCUUGAUCUCUCGCUUGUCAUGCUCCGGACAAUCCUUUGCAAAGUGACCCAUCUCGUUGCAGUUAUAGCACUUGACCUCGGACAUAUCCAAGUUCCGUUGCUUCCGCCCUUUAGAUCGGUCAGCCUUACCACGACCUUGUAGCUUGCCUUUUCCUUUGCCUUCUCCGGUUUGUCCGCCGCGCGUUGUGCUGCUUGAGCCUUCGUUGCCAUCACACCUUCCUUUGCUACUUGGGGACUCCCAAUCUGCACGUGAGUACAUGAGUUGGUCACUACCUCCUCCGUUGCCUUCCCGACAACUACGAGAAUUCUCUUCCCACGUCCGCAGGCGUCCGAUCGCCUCCGUUAUGGUCAUGUCGUCGAUGUCGUAAAGCUGCUCGAGCGUGCCAAUGAUGUACGUGAAUUUUUUAGUCACCGAACUGAAAAAUUUCUCCACAAUCUCGGUCUCCUCGAGCUUUGCACCAAGCGCGCGGAUCUCUCCCACCAAAGUAGUAAGACGCAUGGCAUAGUCGUUCACCGAUUCAGUUUUCUCCAUCUGCAACUUGUGAAAUUGGCGCUUCAGCACUUGUGCCCGAGCCUUGGUGACGCGAUCUUCUCCGAUCCUCAUCUCGUUGAGUGCGUUCCACGCCUCUCUUGCCGUCUCGAACUCCACCAAUGUCAUCAGCACGGAAUCCGGCACAGACUGGGCUAUGGCGGCCAUGGCACCUUCGUCGCGCUCCUCGUCGACGUCGUCGUCCGUGAUGGCCUCCCACACUCGAAGAGAUCGGAGAAUAAUCUUCAUCUUCACCGCCCACACGUCAUAGUUGGCAUCGGUGAGCAUCGGGUACUGGAUGGGGAUGUUGCGAUGCGCCUGGACGUUGGCGCUGCUCGUUCCUCCAUCACUCGUUGCUGACUUGUCGUCCUUCUUCACCUUGUCGUCGUUCUUGUUCGCCUUGGCACCGCCUUUGCCGGAUUUGACCGACUCAGCGUCGCUGUCCGUCAUCGUAGAUCGUAGAUCGUCGAGGCUCUGAUACCAAUUGUUGGCUCUGGAUCUGUAGAUCAAUUCACCCAGCAGCUACCACGUACGUGCAAGCUAGCCUCUAAGCUAGCAAGCAGGCACACAGGUGGAUGGAUAUCCAAUAGAACGACGACGAGCUAGCUGACUGAUUCGAUCGUCUUGACUGCUUGGAACGUAACUCGGUGAAAAACUGAUCGAUGGAUUGCUAACAGGCUCGUAUCGAGCCUGGUACUUUUUGUAUUGCGUUUUGAUCUCUGGUGUUAUAAGCAACAUCCCUAGGGUGUCUUUUAUACACAUCCACAAGGGACUAUGAAAAUAGACUAGGACUAGGUAUCCUAAUACUACUAGGACUCGGUUUGACUAUCUUUCUUAAUCCUAUGUGUACAAGGCAACGUGAUUAACUCACAGUUCAUAGUUGAAUCUUUAAAAGGGCUUAUAUUUAAGAACGAAGGGAGUAUAAGUAGUGAGUAAGUUUGGGACACGCCGUUUUGGCUCCCGGACUCAGAUGAGCCCGAGCGUAAACAGUACGCCAGUUUGGGGUGCAAAAAAUGUUCCAAAAAAUCAAAAAAAAUUGUGAUGCAAGAUGCUCCUAUGUGUGAACUCUCUGUAAAAUUUUGUGAAGUUUGGACAUACGAGGAGCUCACUGCAAAAAAGACGAAAUUCAGAUGUGUGAGAAACUUUUGAAAAUCACACUAUUCAUGCCUGAUUUUGUCUUUUUUGCUGCAAACUCUUCAAAUGUCCAAACUUCAUAAAAUUUUACAGAGUUCACACAUCGAAGCAUCUUGCAUCAUAAAAAAAUAUUUUUUUUAAACUUUUUUGUAUUCCAAACCGUUGUACUGUUCACCGGGCUCAUACGAGCCCGGGCUCACAGAUGGAUUACCGGUAAGUUUGACAUUUGUUCUUGGUCCAACAAAACAAUGGUGUGAUCGAUGACCAAGCGGCGAUGCCGGAGUUGGAUCUCGCUGUGUGAUAUUUAUCGAUUUGUGCCCUCCACUUGGCCAGCUUAAUUGAUCGCCAGUCUCCUUCAUUGACAAUUAGUGCUGCUCAUACACAUGCGUUGCAUACAAAUGAUAUAUUGGGUUUAGGUACGGCUGUCUGAUCCACCUGGCCACCUUCUCACUAGAAAAGCUCAAGUUUGCAGCGACGAGUUUGCAUGUUACUACUCCCUGUGUACCGAAAUAUAAGACCUUUAAGAAAAAUUCCGACCAGAUGAAAAUGUGGACAAUUGACCAGGUUACCCCCCACCUCCGGCAGCUCGCUAAUUUCAAAUCAACCCAGAUCCAGUCGCCCCCCACCUCCGGCCAGCUCGCUAAUAACCCAGAUCUCACUACUCUGCUUGUCCGCUCCCUCCUCUGCCCCAGCUUGUCCGCUCCCUCCUCUGCCCCAGCUUGUGCGGCCCCUCCUCUGCCCCUACCUCCUCUGCCCAGCUCGUCUGCUAGCUACCAGCAGCUUCUCCAGUAGCCAGCGGCAGCAGCUCCUCCGGCAGCUAGCAGUAGAUCCAGCAGCUCCUCCACCAGCCAAUAGGAACUCCAGCAGCUCCUCCACCAGCUAGCACGAGCUCCAGCAGCUCCUCCACCAGACACCAGCACCAGCUCAUCCACCAGCCAGCGGCAGCCCCUCUGUCUGCCGGCAGAAGCAGCUCUUCCGCCUCUGCACUCCCAGCUGCCUCAACGAGGUCCUCUCCCAGUGAUGCACCCAUCGCCCAACAGAUCGCCGGAGGUUUUUCUUUUGAUCCAGGGUGCAGAUCGCCACAGGAGGUCCUAGUGGUGUUGGAUCCUGCUUAUCCCGUCUCCUGCAAACCAAAAAAGCAGGACAAUUAGAGGGUAUUUAUCACAACUUAGCAACAGUUGAACAGAAAACAGUUUAACAACAGCAGCAAAAAUUUUAGCGAGAUCAACAACAUCAGUAGCAGCAUCAAGACAUAGCAACAAUAGCAGCAAUAGGGAGACAUAGAAGUAGCGACAUGGAGUGGCAGCAGGAGUUCAUCAAAAUCAAUAGGGAGUAGCAGCAGCAGGAGUUCAUCACAAUCAAAAUCAACAGGGAGUGGCAACAACAUGGAAUUUGACCUCAACUGUACUCCGCCCGAAGAAGAUGAGAUCAGUCAAAAUGAGAUCAACAUGGAGGACUCACAGGGAGGCAAUGAUCAUGUUGAAGAUGAGAUCAACAUGGAGGACUCACAGAGAGGCAAUGAUCCUGGUGAACAUGAUAUGAACAUGGAGCAAAUAAGGGGAGGCAAUGAUCCCCACGAAGAUGAUAACAGUAAGCACAAUAUACUCAUUUAGCAGUAACAGUGUCUCAUUUACCAAGUUUUUGAAAAUGAACAGCAAGUCUAGUUUCUGAAGAUGAACAGUAACUCCACUUUCUAGAAAUAAACAGUAAUAGUAACUCAUUUGAUCAUUUGAACAUGUGACCAUUUAAAUAUUUUAUCAAUUUAUCAUUUGAUAAUUUGAGUAGGACUAAUAUUUUUUCAUUGUUGUGUUUCUUGUUGCAGUUCUUGAGCAAGGAGUUAGAAAGAGGAAAACUCUGAGUGACCAACAAAAAUAUGCUGCUUAUGUGGCAUUGCACAUAUUAUGUAUGAGUAGAGGUGGAAAGUUCAAGAUAACGGAUAAGAAAAACCUUGCACAUUUUUUUAAUGUAGAAUUGAGGAGUAUACAAAGAGUUUGGCAGAAGGCGAUGAAGCAAAUUUCAGAAGGUUUCGAGGUGGAUGUUUCCAACCAGAAAAAAGGAAAUGUGGAAGAAAACCAAAGGACAUCAACCUAGAGAAAAUCCCUACAAUACCACUCAAUAGUAGGUCUACUAUCAGAUCAUUAGCCUGGCAACUGGGAUGUAGCCCUACCACUCUCCACAGGAAUUCAAAAUGAAGUUGAUAAAGAGGCAUACAAACUGUGUCAAGCCAGCUCUAAAGGAAAAGAAUAAGAAGGAUAGAAUGAAAUUUUGCUUGUCAAUGCUUGAUGAGGCAACAACAAAAACUGCAAGGCCUAAGUUCAAGACUAUGCAUAAUGUUGUACAUAUUGAUGAGAAGUGGUUUACGAUGACCAAGAAGAAUAAAACUUAUUAUCUGCUGGAUGGGGAGGAAGAGCCUACAAGGCCUAUACAUGGCAACUGUAUUGGCAAGGUUAUGUUCUUGACGGGCGUAGCUAGGCCACGGUGGGAUAGUGAAGGAAAUGUGACCUUCUCUGGAAAAACCGAUGAACUCACGAUAAACUGCGUGCGCUCUUUGUCCCAGUUUCAGUUCCCUUGUUCUUGCUUUUCUAUAUCCCGAUGAACUCACGAAUCCAUGAUCCAUGGUCAAUCCCCAAUAUAUAUACUCAAGCAAUAUACUCUCUCAGCAGUAUAUAAUCAAUCAUACAGGAAAGAGUAUCACUCUCUCAGCAGAAUACAUACUCACGAAUCCAUGGUCAAUAGCAGCAUAUACUCCGUGUGGGGAUUAGUCUAGCUCGUAAGCCACGGGUCCAAAUCAAGCAAUAUAUCUACACUAGAAUCUGUAGCAGAGUACACAUCUGACAAAACCGAGAGAUGUGGAGAGGAAGGGGGUAAGAGACGGAAGGGUACCUGGGUGAGGUCGCUGAGGUGGAAGCAGCCGGUGGAGCGGUCGAGGUCGCCGCUAGGGUGUCGCCGGUGCACUGGAGCUCUGCCAACUCGUCCCCAACUCGACGCCCAGCUCGACGCCCAGUCCGGCGCCCAGCUCGAUGCCCAGGUCGACGCCGUCAUUGCUCGGGCUCGGCUUCAGCGCCUCCUUCACCCUGUCCUUGCUCGCCCAGCUCGUCGGCUUCUUGGUCUCGACGAGGCUCCCGCUGAAGUACUCCACCCCCGCCGCCGCAUAGACGAGCAACCCAACUGAGGGCGCCCGCAGCUCCCGCUGAAGUGAUCUGCUAUGUCCAGCACCACUCCGUCAUCCAUAUCCAACAUCGGCGCCCACACCAGCUCUGUCGAUGCAAAACAAACACAUUUUUGACCUUUGAGUGGGAAAGGAAGGAGAGGAAGCACGCAGUGGGAAAGGAAGGAGACAACACACGCGGUGGGCUGUGGGAGGAAGAACGCGGUGGGCUGUAGGAGGAAGAACGGUGGGCUACGGUGGCCGGCGACGACGUAGAGAGGCGACGAGGGAGGGGAAUGAGAGGGUGUGAGAUCUGGGCAGCGAGUGGAUGAGAAUGGGCAGGUGGGGGCAUUUUCGGAAACUCGGAAAGUUUCGUAGUGUCGCGAGAUUUACACUAGAAUCGCUAAAACGUCUUAUAUUUCGGUACAGAGGGAGUACAUUGGAGCAGACCUGUGCAGAUUCGUACUCCCUUCGUUUUUAUUUAUUCUGUAUAUCAGGUUUAUAUAAUGUCAAACCUAAAUCCUUUUAACAAAUUUGUAGAAAAAUAUAUCAACAUAAUCCCUUCAUUUCACAAUUUAGCGCUCGUUCGUGUGCUUUUCGAGAUCUAAGUUUGACCAUACCUUUAAACAAGAAGACCGAUUGCUAUGGGAGCAAAAAUUGAAUCACUGAAUUUGUAUUGAAAUUAAAUACUGAAUUUGUAUCGAAAAUAUAAAUUCAUUGGUAUAAUUUCUGUUGCCACCGCAGUCGGUCUCGUUGGUGAAAUUUAUGGUCAAACUUAGACCUCAAAAAACGCGAGCGCACUACAUUGUGGAACGGAGGGAGUAUACACCAUCAAAUCAAUAUCAUUGGAUUCAUCAUUUCAUAUAUUUUCACAUCAUAUAAAUUUAUUAUUGUAAAUGUUCAUAUCGUUUUCUACAAAUUUCAUCAUACUUUAGAUAGUUUGACUUCAGACAAAACUAAUAUGAGGAGUAAAUAAAAUCAGAGGGGUACCACUCCUAGUAAUUAAUGUGUAUAUCCACUAGCUGCUGAUUGACAUUCAAAUUCUCCACUUGACGAUGGCCAGAGUAUCUGAUAUUCAAACUCUCCACUUGGCCACCUUAUUUCUUCUCCCCAAAUGAGCUAUGAACUGCUCAUUCAUCCAACAUUAAAAUCACUGUGAUGAAACUCUACUCUUUCAGUUUCAUAAUUAGUGCAUAUAGUUUUUCCCCAAAAAACUAAACUUUGACAAAGAUUAUAAAUAAAAAGUCUAUAUCUAGCACAUUGAAUACAUACCAAUAGAUUCGUCAAAAAUAUUUGCAUAUAUUAUAUGAUGGUAUUGUGGAUAUACAUAGAGUUAUCUAUAAACUUGGUCAGAUUUUACAAUGUUUGACUUUUCUAUAAAACCAAUAUGCACUACACUAGGGGAUGGAGGGAGUAUCGUAUGAAAUAUUAUGUGGAAUUAUUCCGUUUCAGACAAUGUUUGGUAUCAAACACAACAGGUACAAUGUUCUAUAGUUUCUCCAAUGUGCAGAAUUAUUAGUUGAAUUGGCAAUUAUUUACAGGAGGGGAGUGCGCUGGUGUGACCGAAAACUAAGUGGAUCGAUGUAUAACAAGCUUCUUUUGGUCGGCAUCAAGACGGUGUUCCUCAUUGUCCGAAUCGAGGACCGGAGUGCAGUAAAUUUUACCAAUCUAUGAUGCGCUCUGGGUGGAUGAAACUGCUCCAAAAGUUGCCCGAGUUCAACGACUCUGUGGUGACCUACGAAUCCGGCGAGCGGCAGAAGUUGCAAGACGUCAGGUAUGAUAUCGUAGGCAACAAUAGUGACCAGUGGAGUGACAUCCUCGACACACCCAAGGGCACCCGCACCUUUAAGCUUCCCUACCCGAUGUACUAAAUCGGCUAGGUUGAAUGCUAGCUAAUCGUCCACGAAUAAGCUCCAUGUUGUUCACUAUCCAUGCUUUGUGAUUACCUUUUUUCCGGGCAUGCUUCCUCAAUACUAAUCCACUAUUACUGCUAGUUUUCUAAUUUCUAUUGAGAAAUCUAUUGCUGCUUGGUUAAAUUCCAUAGUUGGGACCUUGAGUCAGUUACUAGUAUUAAUAAGGUAUGCUACAAAGAAAUUGCAUCUUGCAUAAUCAAUGAAUCGAUGCUCCAUUUUUCCUUGAUUAUAUAAUAUAUGUAGUUUCUAUUUUACACUUUGAUUUAUUUAUUUUUUACUUUUAAUAUUUCCUUUUUUUUCAUUUUCUAGUUUUAUGUUUUAUUUUUUUAUUUGAUCUCCCUUAUGUAUUUAUUUUCUUAUUUUAUUCUUUAGAAUGCUUUCUAUUUGUAAAAAAUAAUGAAUUUUUCCAUACCCUAAUAGUUAAAAACAAUUCCGGGAUAUUAAAAUUACGAUGAACAAGGUCCUAAUAUACGUCGAGAUUUUCCCAAAUACCUGAUGAAUAGUUUUUAUAUGUUUAAGUACAUUUAUAAUUUUGUAAUUACACCAUCAAAUUUAAAUAUAUUUUAAAUAUUUGUUGAAUGCACAAAAAGCAUUUACUAAAUAAUUCGGAACAUUUGCUAUUACAUUGUGAACAUUUCUAGAAUACACAUUGAACAGUUUCCAAACCAUGAUGACUUUUCUAAAUAUGCAUUAUAAAAUUUUCAGUUACACGAACUAAACUGUUUUACCCUGAAUUAUUAUUAUUUUUAAAUUUGUUUUUUCUUAGAAUUAUAAAUAAAAUUAAAUUGAAGUGUUUCAGAGUAUAAAGGACAGAACGGGUAAAAACAAUGACAGAAAAAAUAAAAAUUGCAUUGGGUCGGGUCAUUGUGGAAUACUAUGGGCGAGCCCAAAGGAGUGUUCAUUACUGGUGAAUUAUAGUAGCAACGUGAGGGAAAGUGUGCUUCUCAGCCCGAGCUCAAAUGAGCUCUGGUGAACAGUAAAAUCCAAAAAUAAUUAAAAAAAUAUGAAAUUGUUUGGUGAAAGAAAUUGAAAAUAGUCGUAACUGCCUCCAAAAUUGUAUUAUGAAAUAACAUUUAUUGAAGCCAUGGAGAAAACAAAAUCGAUACUCCAAAAUGCUUUUGAAAUUAGUAUUUUCAGAGUAUCGAUUUUGUUUUUUUGCCACAUGUCACACAAAUGUGAUUUUCUGAUGAAAUCUUGCAAGAUAUUAGAACUUUUGCCAAUGUUUAUCACAAAAAAAAAUAGAUUUUUCUGGAUUUUUUUAAUUUAGUUUUGAUUUUACUGUUCAUCAAAGCUCAUUUGAGCUCGGGCUGAGAAACUCCACAUCCCAACGUGAGCGCCUAUUUGGUGUCGUGCUCAUUUCUGGUAGCCGACAAACUGAGUGGUUUUGUGCGUGACGUAAAAGACACAAAACAAUCAGGGCACUUCGAAGGAAUCAACGUUGUGUCCUUUCACAGGGAAUGCGUGAUGCUAGUUGCUGGCCACUCGUGCCAACAAUUUUUGCUAAUAGAAACACAACAACAAUGUGCAGGAAAUUACUGCAGCGGUGAAUUCCAAAUAUUUUCUAAAGUACACAAAUAUUUCAUCAAAUCUGAACGUUUUUUGAAAAAUCACAGUAUUUUUAAGAUGCCCAAUAUUUUUUUUAACUUUUCAGAAUAUUUUAAAUUUCAAACUUUUUUUUUAAAUUGCCAAACAUGUUUUGAAUUUGUGGACAAAACUUUUGAACAGAGAAACAGUUUUACAACAUCUGAAACCUUUUUUGGAACGCAAUAAGUUUUUCCAAAUUUCCAAGCAUUUACAGAAAAUGGAACAUAUAUUGACCAUUUCCAAACAUUUUUCAAAAACAUGAAUACUUUUUGAUUUAUGAACAUCAUUUCAAAACAGGAACAUUUUUUGAUAAUUCUGAACUAUGUUAGAAAAUGCGAACAAUUUUUGGACGUUUGUUGAGAACCCAAUCAUUUUUAGAAGAAAAACAAUUAUUAAAGUUUCAGACAUUUUUUUACUUGUGAAGUAAUGACCAAAGAAAACCAUAAAAUGUAAAACAACCGAAAAUAAGGAAAAAAGGAAAGAAAAAGUUGAAAAAAAUAAAAAUAUGAAUAAUAAAAAAUAAUAAAUUCUGGAAAGCAGUGAAAAAUAAAUCACAAAACGGAGACCAGUUUAUACGUCCUGCUGCUAUAUGACAAAGUAAAAAAUCUAAAAAGAAAAUCCCACAACAAAAGCUAUUUGACAUACCGAGCGUCAUAUAGAAAAUUCAAACAACAACCACCACAGAACGCUGAUACAGAUGACGGGCAGGUGGAUGUUUCUCAGAAUCAGAUUUUGAAGAAUCAUGAGGCGAAAAGAACUGGUGCCUGCAAUCGGCCGUGGCAUGUACACAGGUGCUAGUAAUGAUAUAAAUCACGGAUAUUGAUUUUGAAGGUCGAGCUCCAUGGAGGUCUUUGAAUGCAAAAUUCAAAAUUCAUGAAAAUAUUUUUUUUUUAUAUUUCGAAAAAUUCCGUAACAAAUACAGAGAUAGAUGAAGGCAUAAUACACAAGUGUGUAAAUUUUUAGGACCAAAUACGUUGAAAUAAGGCUGUACAAAAAAGGCAAAUCUGAGGUUGUUUAACACAUGAUACUAUUCAUCCUCUCGGAACAUGAUUUUAUAUUUUUAUACAGGUUGCAUUUCAACGUAUUUCAUCCUUGUUUAGUUUUAUAAUUGUUUUCAAAAAAUCUGAGGAUGAGGCAUAUGUCUCACAUCCUUGUUUAGUUGUAUAAUUGUUGUAAGAUUUUUUUUUUAAUUUUGAACUUUUCAAAAAAUCGGCCUCGGCCAAAACGCCUUUCUCUAUAAAUCGUGAUUUGUAUACUGGUAAGAAGAAUGAAGCAAUGCAUAUUCAACUAAACAAACUACAUAUUGUCUUGAAUUCACUCAUUUGGAAUCUAGCUAGAAAGGGUGCUUUUUAGGUGCCCAGAUUUUUUAAUUUUUUUGAGGGAAGUGACGAGGUUCUUGGGAAGAAAAGAUUUAACAGAUUCAUUGGUUUUCACAAAGAGAGCAAAUCAAUAUGAGCGCAGAAGCAAUCGAGUUUUGCCAUUAUUAAGCAACAACAUGACAUACAUGAUACAACUAGAGGUACAUAUAGCUAAAUUAGCGGAAGCCCUUUGUAUUGGUACUGCUCGCCGAGCUCCGCGAGCAGAUCGUUUUCCGCCUUGAGUAUGUCGCCCAUGUUGUCCAGCAGGAGGUACUUGUCCAGCGAGAAGCCCGACUCCGGCGAGAUGAGCGCCGCGACGUUUCUCAGGAACUCCUCGUCUAAUGGGGCAAGGGGCUCCCACUUUUGUCCCGACGUCAGCAGCGGCUUCUGAGGUCGCCGCCUCACGACCUUCAUUUUCUUCUUCUUCAUCGUCAUCCUCCUCUUCUCCCCUCUUGCGGGCGUCGGCGACUUCGCCCCCGCCUCCGUGUUCUCACACGAUGAACUCGCCAUGAUUCUUCUCCCGUCCUUCUUCCGCUGAGAAGAUUGGUCUGCUCUGCUGGUUUCGCAGACUUGCGUGCUCGCCGGCACCGGUAUAAAUACAGCAAAAAUAAGAGAUCGAUGAUUCAUUUCUUGGCUAGGGGAGCAGUUCGUUGUAUCCGACUCGUAUUCAGUCCACGGUUCCGGUUCCUACUCCCGCAUGGUCGACGCAUCGGUUGGGAUCCUAAUUGGGACGGCCCAAUGGUAGGUUAUUUUAUAGUAUUUUUAUGUAUAUUGUCUAUAAGGACGUUACUGCAUCAAAAAGAAAAGUAUAAUGGCUCUGCAUCUAGUCUAGUUGCUGAAGCGUGUGCGUCGAACAGCUUCCCCAUCGCUUAGUGACAGUUCAUGAAAUCGUGUGCGAUGACCAUUUCUAUGGAUUUUUUUUGCAUGAUAAUAUGUGUCUCAUUUAUAUCAUAAUGAAAAUAAUACAAGACCAUUGUUGUGGAUUAUAACAACACAUAUACACAGCCAAAUACAAACCCUACGGUCUUGGUCACAAUAUAGUGGUACAGGUGUCCAUUAGGACAUAUGUCCGUGUGUUGCAACGGAAAAAAAAUUAAUUUGUAUUUGCAAGCACAACACGUCAUGCUCCGCUACGAAAGAACGCUAGUUACCACAUGACCAAAACGACCAUCGAUGCAUCACUACAUCCAGAGAGUGUCACCACCUGCAGGGAGGCGCACGUCAAAGCCUUCAACAAACGCGGGGACUAUGUUACUCCCUUUGUCAGACAUUAUUAGGCUGGUGGACCACUUAGCCUCAGCCGGACAUUAAUCAUGAAGUGAGCCUUAGCGCAGAUGGUAAAGAUAUCUUCAACGUGACGAUGUGGCGUUGUGGCUCCCUGGCCCAGAUCUUCCCACCAAUGAAUAGUAAAAUCGACAAAAAAUAGAAAAAAUGAUUUUUUUUUUUGGAGUGCAAGAUGUUCCUUUGGGUGAUGUCAAAAACUGCUUGGAGCUGAUUUUUAUUUUUUUUUGCCAGACGCUCCUCGAAUGUCCAAAUACCUCGAAAUUUUGCAGACAUUUUAGCAUCUUAUGAGCCAAAAAGGAUUCAGAUUUUUUUGAUAUUGUGCUUUUCACCGGAUGCAGAUGAGCCGGGGACCAUUUUGAUUAUUAUUAUGGCUAAUCUAGUUUAAAUGUGUCAUUGUUCAUGUAGCCCACAAUCAUUUUUUCUUUUAUUGUUUGAACACACCACGUCCUUCAUUUCUUUUAAAGGUUUCCUUGCAUGUCUGCUCGUCGUGCAGUUCAUUCCUUUUAAUUGUCAUUCCUUUUAAUUGUCCGCUUUUAGCAUCCAUUUUUAACUGUCUUGCUGAUAUUCCAAGCAAACCGCAAGGUAUAUAAACCGGUAGGGAUCUAUCUAAAGAGGCAAGGUGGGUUUAUUUAACAUAAAAUAUUGAUGUCGAGUUAUUUUUAAAAAAACAGCCUCAACUUUAUUAAUUAGAGAUAAUUGUUACAUCGUCUAUUAAAAAAGAUACAAUAUUUUCCAAAGGCUCCUCAAUCCACUCACUCGUAUCAGAACUCUUUGCUAAUCUAGCAAGCUCAUGUGCUACUUCGUUCGCUUCUAGUAAAAAAAAUUCAGAAGCCAUAGAAAAACAAUCCUCAAAGGUUGCAGCCGCCGCUCCCGCAUAGUACCCUCCCUUGUUCAUUGUUUCAAUUACUUCCGAGAAUAUUGAUGUAGAGUUGGUUAGUGCAGUUGCCUUACCCUGGACAUGGAGUAUUGAGUUUAAUCUUCCAUAAAUACAUAUUUUUGUACACGUUGUUCGUGGCCCAUGGCAGACGGCCCAAUAUUGUAGCGAAGCCCAGCAGUGCAGCAACCUGACAUGGUACGAUAGAUGGUGAGGUGUAUGCGUGCUAGCAACGUAAGAAAACGGCCAGGGAGAGGCAAUGUAUGUACAAUAUUUUUAACCAUGGAUUCAAGCUCGUAAAAUUUUGAGACUUUUCCAUAAAACUGUAUGACAGACUAAGAAUACAUAUUUUCUUAAUUAGUAGGUAUAGAUGCGGCAAGUGGAUUGUUUCCUGGUUUUGGGAAGUUUCCAUAAGCUUUUCAGACGGUUUUUCAUUUUUUCUAUUUUGGGGUUUUCCUGUACCAAUCUUGUCUAUUUUUUAUUUUCUACUUAUUUUCAUUUUGCUUUAUUGCAUAUUCUUUUACUUUUUUUCAUUUUCCUUUUUCUAUUUAAUUUUGGCAAAACACGAAUUGUUUCAAUUUUAUGAUACUUUUUUUAAUUGAGGAACUCCUUUUCGAACUCGUUUUUUCAAGUUCAUCAUUAUUAUUUUUUAAAAUUAUCACCUUUUUAAAAAAUAUAUGAACUAUUUUUAAUGUUUGUGAACGCUGUCUCAAAAUUGAUGAACUUUUUUCCUAAAUGCUGAAGUUUAUUUUAAAACUGAUGAACUUAUUUUAAUAUUUGAUGAUCUAAUUUUAAAACCGGAGAAUGUUUUUGCAAAAUAGACGAACUGUUUUUCUAGCAUAUGUACCUUUUGAAAAUUCAUGAACUUUUUUUCAAUUUUUGGGCUUUUUUUAAAAGUUGAUGAGCUUUAUUCAAAAUCGUGAAAUAUUUUCCAUCUAUGUGCAACCUCUUUUUUCAAAAUCAUGAACAUUUUCGAAUUGAUGAACUAUUAACAGAGAUUAUACGCAUGACCUUUUUUGAAUUCGCAAACUUUUUGUUGAAAUAUCUGCAUUCUAUUUGAUUUUCUGAUUAUUAUUUUCAAGCUAGCGAGCGUGCUCGUGGGCUCACCCAUGCUAGCAAUGGUGCGAGCUGGCACUGGCGCAAAACGCGUCAAUUAGGAAGAGCAACUAAUUAAGGAGUACUCGUCCGAGAGCCUCUCGAAGGGUCCAUUGCCACGUGUCGUACUCUUGGUGUUUCCUUUGGAUUUUUUUCUAUACAUAUUUAUGUCUGGAAUUUUGGCUUUAAGAUGAUUUUGUUUUCCGGGUUUUUUUGGCUUUUCCGUUUACCCCCGAUUUUUCUUACAAUUUAGACCCAAAAAUAAGAUUUUAAAGAAAAAUCACAAAAAAAUGCAUUUUCUCUUUCUUUUUUCCUACCCUGAGAGACAUGGAUUUGCUUCUCUUAGAGGCACAUGUGCCUCCUGAAAAAGCAAAAAAAAUGUUUUUUCCUUCCGCGAGGCAAGGUCGUGCCUCUCAGAAAAGAAAAAAGAUCCAUUUUUCCUUUCACGGAAGUACGGAUUUGCUUCCCUGAAAGGCCUAGUCGUGCAUCUUGAAAAAGGAAAAAUGCAUGUUCUCAUGAAGGAAAACAACGUGGUUUUAGUUUGGUUUUUUUGUUUGAUUUUUUCGUGAAAAAAAGUCCAACGAAACAUAUCAACAUGUGGUCUAGUUUUUAAGAUCUCGACGCAUGGAAUCUAACGGCAAAACCAGUUCUAGAUUUGGACGUAGGUUUUGAGAGAUAAAAUGUUUUGAAUAAACAAAUCUGCGAAAAAGGAAAAACCCUUAGGUUGCUACAAGUGACGCACAUGCAGUUGAAGACUUGUCGCACCCUGGGUUGGGGGAGUGAUCUUUGCCAAGAGUAGUUUUCAAUUAGUGAUUUCGCUAAUUAGAAGCUCGCAUCAUCUCCGAUGCGAGCACUAGUGGAUCAGCCCAUGUGCGCUCAUAUGGGUUUUUUGGAGCGGCUUUUGGAAGCUUCUAUGGAGCUGUUUAGACAAAUUUGAAAACCUUUCAUUCAUUUUUUAUGUGUUCACUAUAUAGAUUUACAUGGACUAAAGUAAAAUGUAGAUUUACAUUAUUUUUUCCCUUAGUUUUCUUUGUGUGUUUUUAUUCAUUUUUUGAAUACACAUGGAAUUUUUGGAAAUACAGUUCGAAUAUUUUUUGUUUACAUGUUAUUUCUUUUAUACACGUUGAUGAUUUUUGUAGACACAUUUAAGUGUUUUCCAAAAUAAACAGUAUUGAUUUGUCAAAUGAACAUUGGAUUUCUUAUGAAUAUAAGGUGAACAUUUAUGAAACACCCAUUGAACAUUUAGAAAAAUUCCAUGAACAUUUUUUUCUUAAAGCAUGCAAAACAGUUCUUAAUGUUAGAACAUAUUUUUUAAUGUCAAAGACAUUUUUGUUGAAUGGUACAAAAUAUUAUUUAAAAUUACAAGACCAUUUUUACAUACUAGAAACAGUUGUGGAAAAUGUUAUGACCAUAUUUUUGAAACGGCUGAAUAUUGUUUAAAUUUCAUAAAUAUAUUUAGAAUGGUAUGUCAAAAGUUUAAAAAUAUGUGAAUAUUGUUUCUACAUUGUAUAAAAAAUUUAAAAACUGUCAUGAACAUAUUUCUGAACACAUGAACUAAAUGUCAGGAACAUUUUUCGAAUGGUACAAACAUUUUUAAAAUUGUGGAGACAAUUUAUUACACUACAUGAACAUUUAUUUGAAACACGCAAUGAACAAGGGGUAAGGGACACGUGUCAUGUGCUUUGCUAGCGCAUCGUGGUUGCUGAGUGUCUCAUUCCUUUGUUGUUGAGUUUUGUUUUAGUGCGGAGUGUUUUUACAGUAUACUCGAGAAAGAUCCUACGUUACGAAGGAUGUGUUUGGUAGGCGUUUCUAGCGGGACUGGCUCGUGGACAUUGGCUCAACAAAGUUUGGUUGAGAUAAAACGAUCAUAAAACUAACAUCUGCAUUUAGUUUGGUUGCCGGCAUACAUUCUAAACUGAAUGGGGUGUCAUGAAAGACAUACUAUUUGGUUGUCUGUUUGUGUAUGCGCAAACACAAGGCCUACUAUUUGGCUGCAUGCAACACUUGUUGUGAGAUAACCUCUUCGAUGCGGUGGUGAGGUUACCAUCACAUAGCGGCGUCAGGAAGAACACACAACAUAACAUAGUAGUAAGCAGUUAUAAAUAUUGUGUCACAUUUAAAUAGAUUAGUUUAAAUGCAAAGCAGUUCAAUAUUAAACUAAAGCAACUAGAGCAUAUGAGCGGUUGUCCUAGACGUUCACAACGAAGGCAUCGUCAUGUCUCCCGCACCAGGCCACCACUUUACUGCCAUCGUCAUUGAAGACGAUGACCUUCACCAUGUCGGGAGUCAUCAACUGUGACCAUGAAGCCUAUCUUGAUUUGUUGGACGGCGACGAAGGUGGCCCAAACCUGGUCGAGGGUGACCCUUUCGUUCAACAGACGGACAAUGACCCUCCUAGAGCACUCGGUGUUCGCCUUCAAAUUGAACUCCUGUGGCAUAGACGGGAAGUGCUUCAUGAAGUCGAGUGGCAUAGGUAUGGCCUCGAGUGGCAUGAUUACCUUGCAGAAGUUAUUUGGCUCACCCAUCUCAUGGUAGUGGUCGUAGUUCUGACGCUUGUCGCUGGGGGGCUCCUCCGCGUAUCGUUGUCCGUGACCGGGCUCUGGACAGGCGCCACCUUUGAGGGCGGCACAACAUCCUUGCACUUGUAUUGCUCCUUUGGUGGCACCACCUCAUUGCCCUUGUUCUCCGUGUCGAUUUGCAGUGUGAAGAGGUUCAAACGAUUGGGUCAGGAUUUGCAAUAUGAACAUUGCAUCAUUGUCAUUAACUUAUUGUCGAGAACCCCAUUAUUUACCUAGGCUGAUGGUUACCACUUACCCACCACCUAGUUGUUUGUCUCUCUUCCUCCAACCCAAUGCCAUGAACUCUAAGAACAAGUCUAACCCCAUCCGCAACCCCUUUCCUUGGGGCAUUGGAUGGAGGGCCUUCUUCCUAGGGUGCUCGCUCGAUGACCGCACCAAGUUUGAGAACACCAUGAAAGUGUGUUCAAACUUCAACAGCUUGGAGGAGCAGUACAAAGAGUAGGACGCUAUGGUGAAGAAGGCGAGUCGGAGGAGUUGAAGACGCUGAUCAGUGACCCAAUGAAGGGUUCUAUGUGAGCCGACAUACUUCAUUGAGCCAUGAAUCAAGCCGUCCCCGGCGACGCUGGACAGAGGGAAAACUGAGCCAAGUACAGACAGCAUCGGUGUUCUUAUGACCACGGGGCCGCAACGUACUUCACCACAAAGAUUAUGGUGGUGCCGGUGGAGGAGCAUCAAGAAGUGCUGGCUAUGGAGGUGGAAGAGGAAGAUGCAGUGGCGACGAUUGUGAGGGCGCUGGAGCUAGGACACCUAAGCAUGCCAAUCAAGUUGGACUCCGGCGAGGAAGAAGAUAUGGUGGUGUAGGUCGAGGAGAAGACCAAGGCCAAGGCUACCCACCGCUCCAAUCGCCUCCAGGGUCCUGUGUACUAUGUAAGAUGAACCCUAAUCCCCAUUCCGAUUGUACUCAAUCCUGAUUGGGAACCUCAUAUCUACCCGUAGUCAUGACGAUGUUAUGACCACUCCUAUGGUGUUUACCCCGAUUCCCCAUUCUCCUAACAUGGAUCGAACCUAAACUCGGAUCAAAUGCAAAGUAGUACAUGAGGAGGGGGGAAAGUGCUUACCGCCAUUGCCGAAGUGCUGCUGUGGAUGCCGGUGAAGAGGCCGGAGUCGAUUUGCUGUUCCUCGAUCUGAUGCACGCCAUCGCCGCCGUCGGUGAGAGUAGGGAGAGUGGAAAGAGAGCGGUGAGAAAAGGUAAGGGUAAUGACUGUCGACGCUUCGGGAAACAACGCGGCUUCUCAAGGGUGGCUCCCCUUGUGCAACCCCUGCCGCCCACGUGCAUCGCAGAGGCCUGGCUCGCGAGAAACUACCAAUUCGAACGUGCCUCGCGAGACAUACCCAGACAUGCUUUAAAGUUCGUGACAUGCAGGCCCAACAAUGUAUGUUGACAACCAAUCAGUUUGUUUUCUUUCCACGGGCCUGGUUGGACCUUAUGCGGGCAACCAAACGCAUCCCCAAGUGUUGUUUAUUUGUCGGAAUUUUCUAAGGUACUGGGCAAACGACAUGUGUACUGAGUGCCCAUGAAAUUACACCAGGCAAACUGUAAAAUACUCAGCGUAAUUUUUUUCCUGUAGUUGUACAAUUGGCUGCGCUGCAGUUCCAAAUUUGAUAAAGUUACAAGGUUGGUGUACCAGAAAUUCAUUAUCUACCAAUCAUCAAUAUGUAUGCACAAAACAGUUGCCUGUCUGGGCCUUUGUAUCAACGUCCAUCCAUGUGUAACACGUUCAGCGGAACCGUCUACCAAACGUCUGACAGACACAGACACGUGCAUAUCCUCCAAACCGGGCAGGCUGGUUGCUUGCGCCCUCGUCGCUUUCUUGUCGAACUGGCUCCAUAUAUAGACUAAUGCACACCACAGUUCAAUUUCCAUUUUCGUUUCAGUCAUCGUACAUAUGACUGCAUUAUUCAGCUAACGUUUAAGCAUAGGGAUUUUUAUUUUCAUGUCCCGUCUUUCUUAGUUAUGAUUAGUUUUGCCCCGUUCAUUUAACAUUGCUCACUUUUUUCCCUUCUUUACUCAUCUACGCCUCGUAAAAGAUCAAACGGUGUGUUGACAUUGGGUUAGACCAGGGGCGGUCCUCAGAUUUUGGGGGCCCGGGGCUGGAUUAAAAGCCGGGGCCCUUAAUAUAGACAUAAUAACAAUAACACUGAAUAUACGUACCGGUGAAAUAUAAACACUUAAAUACGUCUAAUACUAAUAUGCAUAUCAAAUGUUUUAAAAAUAUUACCUCAAACAAUAAUUCUGACAUACCUUGAUGCAAAGGCCAUUAUGAUGGCGUCGAUGUUAAUAGCGUCCAAUAAUUUCUUCUCGAUGACAUAAUGUCACCAGACCAUAUAAACACUCUUGGUUCAUCGGUGACCUCACAUAGUUCUUCAAUCAAUAUUUCCAACUUCAGAGAGCUUCUUCCGACCAAUACGAUAGUCACAGGCAUAGUAAAUAGGAUGCAAUAAGCAAUGGAAAUAUCAGGAUAACAGCCAACUUCUAUUGACAUGCUGCAAAUCUCCAUUGCAGAUAUUACAGUCAUAUGGCAGAAUGAAUCCCACAAUUUUUAAUUUAGAAGUAAGAUCAUACUCCCUCCGUUCCUAAAUAUAAGACCUUUUAAAGAUUGCACUAUAAACUAUAUAGGAUGUACAUAGACAUAUUUUAGAAUAUAGAUUCACUCAUUUUGCUCCGUAUGUAGUCUCCUAGUUGAAUCCCUAAAAGGUCUUAUAUUUUAAAACGGAGGGAGUAUAUCUCAACAUCAUGAUACACAAUGCUGACAAAUAACAUUAAUUGUUGAACAAUAUCGAUGUACCGGCGAUGCAUCUACAGAAGCACAAUAAGAAUAUAUGAUAUACGUACCUCGGAUGGCUGAAUCAGCCAUGACGGAAAAUCAAAGCCGGAUUAUAGGACGCCCCGACGAAUUGAAAUCGACGGCGCGCAGCUGAUGAUCUAAAUUAGGAAAGAAAUUAGGUUUGGGAGAAAAGUAGAAAGGAGGGUCGAGCACGCAGUGGCGAACAGACGAUGCGUCGGCGGCCGCUAGGAAUCGCUGCGUCAAUGCGAGAUGGAAUAGGAAGGGAUCAAUCACUCCUAUUUUUUCGUGAAAAAACGGAAGGAACGGUUGCUGCCUUUGUGCCUCGCUGGACUGCUGGGUGCAUGUUUGCCUGCAUGCUACGUGAGGCCCAGUCAACCAACCCGAUAGGUCAUUUUUUUCUGAUCUGUAAAAACAUUAAAUAUGUUUGGACAAAGCCUAUGUACAUACGUGGGGAGGGCCCCCUAAACUUUGGGGGCCGGGGCGGCCGCCCCCCCCUGCCCCUCCCCUCGGCCGGCCCUGCGGUUAGACUACCAACAAUGAAAGUAACAUAGGUGGUAACAUAGAUAUCAUCUAAACAACAAAUGUGAUGUGGCAACUAAUUAAAGAAAAGUAAGAGAAAUUGAAUAACUUAGCAUGUUACUCAUAUUAGGAGUAACAUAGCGGAUACCAAGGCAAGAUGGGUGUAUAGGCUAAUAAAUAAAAGACUCAAUGUUACUACCCCUAUGUUACUAUCCACUAUGGAGGUAGUAACUUAGAUUAGUAACAUAUGUAUGUUACUCCCCAUUGGUCUUUCAGCGGCGUUCAGAGACUCCUUCAUAUUAUUAGACAUAAUUAUGUCUAGAGACACAACACACGAGGCUAUACGUAAAUCACCCUUAGAAUACCAGCGAGCUCUCGUUUAACCUACGGACCCGAUGGGCCAUGUUAAGACUGGUAUGAAUACCAGCAAGCUCGCUGACAAGGAUCCGACGACUCCAUUACCCCUCGCAUCGCUUAGAGAAAAAACCCGAUACAAGUCACCCCCUUGACUUGAUCUGGAAUUAUCUGCGAGAUGCCAUCUAUGCUCUCAUCUAUCAACAAUUUCAACACAUGUUCUGCCGGAGUUUUGGUGCUUGGAAACCAUGAGCAAACCGCUUGUCACUUCUCCCGUGAGAGAGCGUCACCGGCACAGAACACCUCCAAUGGUUUCGUGAUUGCCGAUGGCGGCUGCAGGAUUGGGGGAGGUAGGCUGCUCGGGCUGCGGGGGAUGCGAAUUGAGAGAGAGAGAGAGAGAGAGAGGGAGGGAGAGGGAGAGGAAGAGAGAGAGAGAGAGAUUUCGUCCCCCUUUUUAGGACAAAUGACCCAACCAUCCACUAGCCGGUCCCACAUGUCAGCAUUUCAUGUCAGUCCCAUGCGUCCACGCGUCAACACCGGACGAAGUAACGGUCAACAGUUUUGACCCGACGGUGAGGCAUUGUUUGGCCUUUUGCGAGACGGAGGCGAGUAGAGGAGGGAGAAAAGUGAGUAAUGUUAGACGGACGAGGCAAACUGAGCACAACUAAGUAACGAUGGACGAGGCAACUUACGUAAAACCAGCUACAAUUAUAAUAGCUUUCGAUGUACACCCGUGUGAUCACCAGCCAUCUAACAACCUUUGCCGACAGUUGUCCUUCAUCCACAAAGACAACAUCAUCCAAAUAAUUCACUUGCAAUCCAGGUUUCUCUAUCAUCUCUUUGGACAUUGUGAUAUUUACUAAUUCCCGAUCCAGAGGUCUCAUACGCCAUGGCGAUGUCAUGACCAGUCUAGGAGAAGAAGCACCUCGUAAACUAGAGCGGAACAGAACCUGGGUUUUCUAGGCAUGGCCUCUCGAUAAGAAGUUGAGAAGAUUAUGGCUGAUACAUGGUGAGAUAGGAUGAGGUGUCUACGCUGCCAUACGACAAAACCCUAGUAACAGGGGAUGCUUUAUCUGUGUUAUUUUUUAAUUAAAUCACAUGAAUAAUUGGCCGUGUGUAUGUAAUUCUAUAUUAAUAUAAUAGGACACAAAGAGGCAGGUCCAUAUCAUCUCGGCCAACAAAUCUAAGAUUUGAUGGUUCAUGUUGAGCACCAAGAGACGAAAACCGCUCGCGUCGCCUCCAGGGGGCGACACGGGCGCCCUAGCCGCCGUCGCCCUCGACCUCCCUCCUCCCCCGCUUCCCCGCCGUUGCCGGAGGAGGCCGGCGAGCGAAGCUCGCCCGGCGGACGACGGACGGCGGGCCUUCCUCCCUUCUUCACGAGGGGGUCCUUUGGCUGAGAUGCGACGGCGCCCCUGGGGGUACAACAUGGAGGCGGAGUUGGCGUGCUCGGGCGGCGUGGGAUCCCGGCGGCGCUGCGGGGGCUGGCGGCGGCGGAUCUGGGGUUCCCCACCCCAGAUCGGUUCUCCUCCGGGUGGUCGGGCUCAGGCGCCGUCCAGCGGCCCUAAGCGGUGGUGGACGCGCGCGUUGACUGUCCUCCUUCACAGAUGUGAUUGGAAACGACAGGAGGUGUUGGCGUGCUGCUAGAUCUGAACAAGGUGAUGGCGUCAUCCCCUUCAUCAGGGAUGACGACCAGGUGGUGGGUUCUUGUGGCGUCGCCGGUGGCGGCGGAUCUUGGGAUCCAGUUCCCGGGGACGUCGUGGGAUGUGGUGGCCCGUGCAGGAGAGAUGGGUUCUUCGAACAGAUCUGGGUCAAAGCUUGCUUUCGGCUAUUGCUAAGGUCGGCGAUGGCGGCGCUGUCUACAUCGUUCCCUUCCUGAAGGCAUCGCCGAGGAGAACUUCAGGGCCACUCUCUGCUACCUCCUGGGGUAACCCUAGAUCAGUAGAUCGGAUGACGGCGACGCUCUGGUGUCAUUUCCCCCUUGGGGGCGUCAUUCAUGGUGGUACACACGGGCUCGAGGGACCAUUGGUCGGCAUUUACGAUGGAGCAGCGUUCCUAGUGACACAUCGACGUUGUGGAGUCUCGGCGGCGAGGCGCGGCAAAGUCUCGGCAAUGAAUGCAUGAUGAUGAGCACGCGUAGGGAGGAGGCGUUGUCUGGCGCCGUGGGGGCAUCGAUGGCAGGCCUUGCAAGGUCGAUGCGUCAGUAAUUUUUCUGAAGAUGGAUUGAUGGAAGGCGGCGACGACGACCUAUGAGGGUGCGUCGGACCGUUUGUGCCCCUGACCCGGUAUGUGGCUCUGUCGGGGCCUCCGGCUUUAGAUGUUAGGCUAGGUGAGAGGUCUGGGUAUGUGGCUCACACUUUCUGCACCCCCUUCAUCAUUGUAUAUGAGUAGCGACAGAUGUUGCCAAGAGGACGGCUUCAGACAUACGCUUAACACUCUAGCUAAUUGACCACCAGUAGCACGGGAGAGGUGUUUUGGCUCCCGGGUAUAUGCACUCGGAUGAACAGUACUGCGAAAAAAGUUCUAAUUUUUUUUGUAGAUGAUUGUAUUAGUGUCGCAAAUAUGCAUGACAAUUUUCGUGCGAUAAGGAGCAACGGUGUUUCAUCAGCAAAAAAGACAAAUUUAGGAUGACAUUUUGGGGUAACUUUUGGUGUUCAAUUUGUUUUUCUUGCACAAACCAAAAUGUUUUAUCUUUUUGUCUCAAAAUUUACAAGUAGUAUUUGGAUGUGACAAAGCAUACAAACAAAUUUUGUCUCAUUUUUUUCCAUUUCAAACUUUUUUUUGGCCCCGAAAGCAUAUGCCGGGAGCCGAAUUGCAUUUCCGCCGGUAGCACUAGUUACAUACACACUAGACUCCGCGCAAUCCCAUGAAAUCUGUUUGGCGAUUAACAUACGGCUAAAUAUCAACAUGCAAAUAUUAUCUUACCAAAUGUACCAAAUGUGUAACUAGUAUCUUAAUUCUACUCCCUUCAUAAACUAAUAUAAAAACAUUUAAAAACAAUGCUUUAGUAAUCUAAACGCUUUUAUUUAAUUUACAAAAGGAGUGCUACCUAAUAUCAACAUGCAUUGCACCAACUCCCUUCAAGGUCUAAUGCGUUUUUAGGGUUGCCCUUGACUAUUGAUAAGAUUAAUAAUAUAUGAGAUCUAUGAUAAAGAGUCUUUUCACAUCCGAAUUUGACAAUAUACCUGUAACAUGCAAGUUAUAUAUAUAUAAUUGCUCUAACCCGUGGCCAAAGGAAAUCUUGCAAAAUGUAUCGGAUGAAGGGAGAACAUGAUAAUACCAGUCUAACAAAUAUAUCCUCUCCAAUCGCAAACAUUUAUCCCCUUGGAUCACAACCAUGCAUACCCCUUUUGAGUACUCCCUCCGUCCCAAAAUUAAUGUCGAGCAUGUAGUUCAUUGGGAAUUUUGCAAAAAAAAACCUCGUAUUUACAAAAUCGUCUCAAACAAGCACCUCCACCCCUAUCUUCUUCGUCCGUCCUCGCCCGUGCAUCGCGAGAGGCCGCGCCGUCGAACUGGAAGGGCUCCGCCGCCGUCGCCGCCAAUUACCUCCUCCAUCACCACAACCCAGAUCUGCGCCACCGGAUCUCUUCCCGCUGCAGUUACCUGUCGGCGUCGUUCUCGAGCUCCUGCCGGCGUCGGAACCUUCCGCCACUUCGUCCUCUGGCUCCCAUGCGUCAUCCUCGAGCUCCCGUGCAUCCUCCCCAAGCUCACGCGCAUCCUCGCUGGAAUCUCUACUGCUCCUUCUCCCUUGCAGCCGGUGUGCCUGCUUAUCCCCUGUCACCGGAGGAGCUCCUCUGCACGUACUUGUUGGAAUUAUGCCCUANNNNNNNNNNNNNNNNNNNNNNNNNNNNNNNNNNNNNNNNNNNNNNNNNNNNNNNNNNNNNNNNNNNNNNNNNNNNNNNNNNNNNNNNNNNNNNNNNNNNNNNNNNNNNNNNNNNNNNNNNNNNNNNNNNNNNNNNNNNNNNNNNNNNNNNNNNNNNNNNNNNNNNNNNNNNNNNNNNNNNNNNNNNNNNNNNNNNNNNNNNNNNNNNNNNNNNNNNNNNNNNNNNNNNNNNNNNNNNNNNNNNNNNNNNNNNNNNNNNNNNNNNNNNNNNNNNNNNNNNNNNNNNNNNNNNNNNNNNNNNNNNNNNNNNNNNNNNNNNNNNNNNNNNNNNNNNNNNNNNNNNNNNNNNNNNNNNNNNNNNNNNNNNNNNNNNNNNNNNNNNNNNNNNNNNNNNNNNNNNNNNNNNNNNNNNNNNNNNNNNNNNNNNNNNNNNNNNNNNNNNNNNNNNNNNNNNNNNNNNNNNNNNNNNNNNNNNNNNNNNNNNNNNNNNNNNNNNNNNNNNNNNNNNNNNNNNNNNNNNNNNNNNNNNNNNNNNNNNNNNNNNNNNNNNNNNNNNNNNNNNNNNNNNNNNNNNNNNNNNNNNNNNNNNNNNNNNNNNNNNNNNNNNNNNNNNNNNNNNNNNNNNNNNNNNNNNNNNNNNNNNNNNNNNNNNNNNNNNNNNNNNNNNNNNNNNNNNNNNNNNNNNNNNNNNNNNNNNNNNNNNNNNNNNNNNNNNNNNNNNNNNNNNNNNNNNNNNNNNNNNNNNNNNNNNNNNNNNNNNNNNNNNNNNNNNNNNNNNNNNNNNNNNNNNNNNNNNNNNNNNNNNNNNNNNNNNNNNNNNNNNNNNNNNNNNNNNNNNNNNNNNNNNNNNNNNNNNNNNNNNNNNNNNNNNNNNNNNNNNNNNNNNNNNNNNNNNNNNNNNNNNNNNNNNNNNNNNNNNNNNNNNNNNNNNNNNNNNNNNNNNNNNNNNNNNNNNNNNNNNNNNNNNNNNNNNNNNNNNNNNNNNNNNNNNNNNNNNNNNNNNNNNNNNNNNNNNNNNNNNNNNNNNNNNNNNNNNNNNNNNNNNNNNNNNNNNNNNNNNNNNNNNNNNNNNNNNNNNNNNNNNNNNNNNNNNNNNNNNNNNNNNNNNNNNNNNNNNNNNNNNNNNNNNNNNNNNNNNNNNNNNNNNNNNNNNNNNNNNNNNNNNNNNNNNNNNNNNNNNNNNNNNNNNNNNNNNNNNNNNNNNNNNNNNNNNNNNNNNNNNNNNNNNNNNNNNNNUGUUGGAAUUAUGCCCUAGAGGCAAUAAUAAAUGUGGUUAUUAUUAUAAUUCCUGUAUCAAGAUAAUAGUUUAUUAUCCAUGCUAUAAUUGUAUUGAAUGAAGACUCAUUUACAUGUGUGGAUACAUAGACAAAACACCGUCCCUAGCAUGCCUCUAGUUGGCUAGCCAGUUGGUCAAUGAUAGUCAGUGUCUUCUGAUUAUGAACAAGGUGUUGUUGCUUGAUAACUGGAUCACGUCAUUGGGAGAAUCACGUGAUGGACUAGACCCAAACUAAUAGACGUAGCAUGUUGAUCGUGUCAUUUUGUUGCUACUAUUUUCUGCGUGUCAAGUAUUUAUUCCUAUGACCAUGAGAUCAUAUAACUCACUGACACCGGAGGAAUGCUUUGUGUGUAUCAAACGUCGCAACGUAACUGGGUGACUAUAAAGAUGCUCUACAGGUAUCUCCGAAGGUGUUAGUUGAGUUAGUAUGGAUCAAGACUGGGAUUUGUCACUCCGUGUGACGGAGAGGUAUCUCGGGGCCCACUCGGUAAUACAACAUCACACACAAGCCUUGCAAGCAAUGUAACUUAGUGUAAGUUGCGGGAUCUUGUAUUACGGAACGAGUAAAGAGACUUGCCGGUAAACGAGAUUGAAAUAGGUAUGCGGAUGCUGACGAUCGAAUCUCGGGCAAGUAACAUACCGAAGGACAAAGGGAAUGACAUACGGGAUUAUACGAAUCCUUGGCACUGAGGUUCAAACGAUAAGAUCUUCGUAGAAUAUGUAGGAUCCAAUAUGGGCAUCCAGGUCCCGCUAUUGGAUAUUGACCGAGGAGUCUCUCACGUCAUGUCUACAUAGUUCUCGAACCCGCAGGGUCUGCACACUUAAGGUUCGACGUUGUUUUAUGCAUAUUUGAGUUAUAUGGUUGGUUACCGAAUGUUGUUCGGAGUCUCGGAUGAGAUCACGGACGUCACGAGGGUUUCCGGAAUGGUCCGGAAACGAAGAUUGAUAUAUAGGAUGACCUCAUUUGAUUACCGGAAGGUUUUCGGAGUUACUGGGAAUGUACCGGGAAUGACGAAUGGGUUCCGGGAGUUCACCGGGGGGGGCAACCCACCCCGGGGAAGCCCAUAGGCGUUGGGGGAGGCACACCAGCCCUUAGUGGGCUGGUGGGACAGCCCACAAGUGCUCUAUGCGCCAAGAGAAGAAAAAUCAAGAGGAAAAGGGAAAAAAAAGGAGGAGGUGGGAAAGGAGGAGGACUCCCUCCCACCAAACCUAGUCCAACUCGGUUUGGGGGGGGGAGAGUCCUCCCCCUUGGCUCGGCCGACCCCCUUGAGGGUCCUUGGACCCCAAGGCAAGGCCCCCUCCCUCCCACCUAUAUAUACGGAGGUUUUAGGGCUGAUUUGAGACGACUUUUCCACGGCAGCCCGACCACAUACCUCCACGGUUUUUCCUCUAGAUCGCGUUUCUGCGGAGCUCGGGCGGAGCCCUACUGAGACAAGGUCAUCAUCAACCUCCGGAGCACCGUCACGCUGCCGGAGAACUCUUCUACCUCUCUGUCUCUCUUGCUGGAUCAAGAAGGCCGAGAUCAUCGUCGAGAUGUACGUGUGCUGAACGCGGAGGUGCCGUCCGUUCGGUACUAGAUCGUGGGACUGAUCGCGGGAUUGUUCGCGGGGCGGAUAGAGGGACGUGAGGACGUUCCAAUACAUCAACCGCGUUCUCUAACGCUUCUGUUGUACGGUCUACAAGGGUACGUAGAUCACUCAUCCCCUCUCGUAGAUGGACAUCACCAUGAUAGGUCUUCGUGCGCGUAGGAAAAUUUUUGUUUCCCAUGCGACGUUCCCCAUCAGUACUGCUGCUGGUCAUCUGCCUGAGUUGUUGCUGCUCCUCUGCUGGAGUUGAUGCUCCUCUGCUCGAUCUACUCUGCCGCUGGUGAAGCUCUGCCCGUGGUACUGCUAUUCCUCUGCCCAUUUGCACCUGAAGAAGGUACUGAUGAAACUGUUUGUUGUUUACUGCUACCUAAAACUGCUGUUGUUUGAGAAACUGCAUUGCUUGAGAAACUUGUAAUGUUGUGGUAUCGAAAAUAAUUUUGUGCAAUACUUGUAAUGUUGUGGUAUCAAAAAUAAUUUUGUGGAGUAUCAGAAACAGAGAAGCCUGGUUCAAGGUUUUGCACUGGAAACAGAGCAGUCUGGUUCAAGGUUGUGCACUGGAAACAGAGCAAUCUGGUUCAAGGUUUUGCCUAGAUAAACCAGACCGGAUGAGAGACCAAAUACAUGGGCAAGUAGUCAAAAGAAACACAUAAUUUGCCUAGAAUCUUGUUGUCCUGUGAUGCAAGAAAAUUUCACCAUGUGUAUGUUGUGGAACGCUUACAGUUGCACAAAUCAGACAUAUCAGUAGGUUGGUUCAGGUGUUGGUUCUUGGCCUAUUAACAUAGAAAGCCCCUUUGUAACUACUAGGACAAUCAGCUUGUGUAAAGAUCAUAUUUAGAGACGAAUUGCAAGCAUUAACCUGAUCUUAACAUAUAUAAAUGGAUAUUAAGUUUUCCAUUUUAGGCGAAUACAGAUAGAGGUUUCAACUAGACCUAGUGAGAAAUGGUUCCAUGGUAGCAUUUCUUGUUUGGCUGUCGUAGCUCGAUUACAUAUUGUUUUUACGUGCGUAUAUAUUCUUGUUACAGUACCAUGGUGUACUCAUCUUUUGUCAUUGAUAGCAGGAGUAUGGAUUUGAACAUGAUACCUCAAGAGGAGGAUGAAGGUAUUAAUUUGAAUUGGAUCCCUCAAGAGGAAGAGGCUCAAGGGGGAGAGGAUGGAGGUAUGGAUUUGAACAUGAUGCCUCAAGAGGAAAAGGAUGAUGGUAUUAAUUUGAAUUGGAUCCCUCAAGACGAAGAGGAUCCAGGGGGAGAGGAUGGAGGUAUGGAUUUGAACAUGAUGCCUCAAGAGGAAGAGGAUGAAGGUAUUAAUUUGAAUUGGAUCCCUCAAGAGGAAGAGGCUCAAGAGGAAGAGGAUGAAGUUAUGAAUUGGAUACUUCAAGAAGAAGAAGAAGGUCAAGAAGGUGUACCAGGUAAACAGAAAAGAAAAGAAUUGUCAAAUAAGGAGAGGCAUGCUGUUUACUUUGCUCUGCUAGUAAUCGAGCUCAGAGAUGGAUCUGUUCAACCAAACGACAAGCUGCUAGUAUCAAUCUUGUUGAACAUACAUGUACGAUCUAUUGAGAGAAUCUGGUCGGAGCCAAAAAGCAGAUUGCCGCGGGCCAAGAAGUAGAUGUCUCCAACAAGAAGAAAGGAAGAGUUGGUCGAAAGAGAAAAGAGCUGGAUCUUGCAAGGACCUCAACAAUCCCAUUGAAUAGAAGAAGGACAAUUCGAUCUCUGGCACGGUCUCUCGGUGUGACCCGCUCAACCCUACAUCGGAGGUUCCAGUUAAAUGAGCUCAACCGCAUCACAAACACAGUCAAGACUUACCUCAAACCAGAGAACAAGAUUGCAAGAUUGAAGUUUUGUAUGUCCAUGCUCGAUGACAAUUGGAUCUCAACUUCCCAAGCUAUAUUCAAGCCAAUGACUAAUAUGGUCCAUAUAGAUGAAAAGUGGUUUGACAUGACAAGACUAAAGAACAACUACUAUGUACUUCCAGGAGAGCCUCCACCUGAGCGCACCGUGACAAACAUUAACAUCAUUGGGAAGGUAAUGUUUCUAACGGUUGUGGCCAGAUCUCGAUACAAUUAUGAUGGAGAGCUAACAUUUGACGGGAAGAUUGGUAUUUGGGCAUUCAUCAAAGAGUCUGAGGCAGUGCGAACGAGUCACAAUAGAGCAAGGGGAACGACAGUGCUGAAACCAGUGAAAGUAACGAGACCUGUGUGUAGAGAAUAUCUGAUCAAUAAGGUUAUACCAGCAAUUCAAGAUAAAUGGCCUGACGAUGAUGAGGGAGCAACAAUAUUCAUCCAACAAGAUAAUGCAAAGCCUCGCGUUCUUCCCAACGAUGAAGCUUUUCGAGAAGCUGUGGAAGAAACUGAUCUCGACAUUAAGUUGAUGCAACAACCUCCAAACAGCCCAGAUUUGAACUGUUUGGACCUCUGCUUCCACAAUUCUCUCCAGUCUCUAACCGAUUGUAGGUCACCUACAAACAUCCAGGAACUGAUACAGGGUGUGGAAGAGGAGUUUGAGAAUUAUGAUCCUCACAAGUUGUACAACAGCUUCAUCACAUUGCAAGCAGUUAUGUUUGAAAUUAUGAAAGAUCAAGGAGGAAACCAAUAUAAGUUGCCCCACUUACACAAGGAACGUCUUCAGAAUGACGGCAGAGAAAUAACAAGUGUAUAUUGUGACAGUCAGCUAGUUGCUGAUACUAGGGCCAUUCUAGAAGAAAUGCAAUAGGAAAAGGAAAGGAAGAAAAGAAGUAGUUGUAGAAAGGAAAAAAAGAAUUGAACUUAUCUGAAUUGUACUCCUUGUGUACUCCUUGUACUCCUUGUGUAUGUCUUGUGCAAUAGGAAAAUGCAAUUGGAAUCAUUUGAGAUCAAUGAUGAUACUGGUUAUCCAACAUUUCCAUCUUGUGUAUCGGAAUUCAUUUUAAUUGUUUGGACUAAUUUGUUUGAGUUUAUCUUGAGUUUAUCCAGCAUUUCCAUCUGUAUUGGAGAUCAAUGAUCUUGUGUAUUGGAAGGGUCAUGUACAUGGGGAUGUUGCCUCAAGUUUUAUUAAAUUUAUUGUUUCAGGUUUCAGUAUACAAAGAUUACUGGGGUAUUGUCUAUAGUUUGGAUAAACCAAAUAAAGUUCACAAAUCUUUAUUCCCUUUGUGCAUAAAGUUUACAAAUCCCAAGCAUAGAGUUGGGAUCAACAAAAAAAUUCUAAGCUUACAAAUCGUGAGUGCUUUCAUCUCAAAAAAAUUCUAAGCUUACAAAUCCAGAACUGGUAGCCUUCCUUAUCUCAAUUCUCUGGUACUGAUUUUUGCUCUCUUUUUUUACCUUCCUUCAACAAGUUGUUCCUUGAACUGCAGGUACUCAGGGACAGUCAACUCCUCGUCGUCUGAAUUCUCAAGUACAGUAGUACUAGUAGCUUGGUUCAGGUUGAUUCUCAAUGAUGCCCUGCACUUGACACUAAAGCCUCCAGCCUGCAGAUAUACAAACGAAAUACAGAUACAUGCAUCAGUCUGAACCUGAAGAAGAAGGAAUGCAACCUGUGAAAUGUGUGAAAUGCUCCUACCAACAGACAAUGGAUGGUUUUUUUGUUUUGAUUGGUCUUGCUCUCGGUUUGAAGAUGAAGUGGUGUUAUUUCGCUUACCGUUGAUGUUCAAGUGUAGGCUUUUGCCUGCCCAGCACCUCUUAACCAUGUCAUCUCCUUGCAGUGCGUCUGGUUCAGGCCGAGCUCCGGGAAGCGGCUGCGCAUCAGCGGCAGCAGCGUGUCCGACGUCCCCAGGUACAUGGACUGGAAGUUGGCCUCCUGUUUCUACACGAGCACCCUGAUGAAGAGGUCUUCGGGGAGAGCUGGGGCGACUUGUUGCCAUCUGGUGAGGACGUCCACGGCGCCCUGGUCGACGGACUUCGUGACGCUGAACAUUGUCACUGUCGGGGGACGGGAACGUGCUUCACCUGCCACGAGAGCACGACGCCGAAGCUCUCGCCGACGCCGUUUCCGACGCAGCCGGAGAAGACGGCGGCGGUAGGUGGAGAAAUCAUUGCUUUUUAUGAGGAAGGGGGAAGCUUGGGGAGGCAGGCGAGUCGCAACUGCGGCGGCGGAGCGGCGGGGGACCGGGGGAGCAGGGGAGUUGCGGCAGGCGGAGCUGCAGCGGGCGAGCGGCAGCUGCGGCGGGGGAGUAGGGCAGCUGCGGCGGCGAGGAGCAGGCAAGCUGUAGCGAGCGUAGAUGGGGCAUCUGUCGGAGGAGGAGGACGAGGAGCGCGGGUUUGGUCGGGAGAAGCUGUAGGGGCUUUUCGCAAAAUUACCGUCGCGACAUUAAUUUCGGGACGGAGGGAGUAGCAUCUAAUCCUUCCAAAUAACACAGAACAUACGUGUUGCACGACCCAAAUGGGGCCCGGUCAAUGACAUCAAUCCCAUAUGUCACUCUCUGCUCCUACUACCUCGCUGUCCAUUACUUCAUGGUAAAUCUGGGGACGAGGAGGACAUGGUCGUCUGUCUGGCUCUUCACCUCCCUCGGGAGCAGUGCACUCGACCACGGUUGGACUCUAACCGGUGGAAAUCCAUGGUGUCCGUUCAAAUGUCGUUUGGAUGCGCAGGGAUGAUUGCUCGAGGCGUGCGGGCGCGGCCUCGACGGACACAGUGAUCGCCGUCCAAUUCUAGUAUGAUGAUGCAACCCCUUUGGUGGUGCCUCAUCCCUACGCCCUCGGGCUCGGAGUCGAAGAUCUGCACCGGCAUGAGUUACGGUCCAUCUUCUAACAUGGAGUGGCAUACCCGUCGUGCAAGGCAAAGGCCGCGUGGCGAGACGUAGAUGCUCUAACCACAUCUAGAUGGGAUCACAUCGAUUUAUGAUAUCCCGACUUCCCGAUCAACGAGUCUCCUCUGAUCAAAACCAUGUUACCCUAAUAUGCAUGUAAAAAAGUUAGGCUAAUAUGCGCGUAAAAAAGUUGAUUAACUGCUGCUAAAAUGGUGUGAUGUGAUAAGCCGGCCCUCCCCAACAAGAAAUAAUAACAACUGCCCCCCUAUCUCUCAUAUCCAAUUUAUAUAUGAGCCGGAUAUAGCGAGGACUGGAUGCGUCCGUCAGGUUGUAUCCGGCUCACGCUGGUUCAUCCCGACCCAUAUAUAUCCGUCUCUAUCUCCAACCUGGACGAAACCCUAGCUACUCCACCCCUCUUCUUAGCUCCGUUCCGAUGAUCUCCAGCCAUCUCCGACAUUACAGGCAGCGUCCGACACGGAGUUGGGAUCUCGCCCCAUGCGGGGAUGAGGAGGACAUGGCCGUCCGGCCGGCACUUCGCCGCCCCCGGAAGGAGUGCGCUCGACCACGGUUGGACUCUAUCCGGCAAAAACCCAUGGUGUCCGUUCAAAUCUCGCUUGGAUCCGCAGGGAUGAUGGCUCGAGGCGUCCGGGCGCGGCCUUGCCGGACGCGGUGACCACCAUAAUAUUCUAACUCCGGGAUGGCGAUGCAACCCCUCCGGUUGCGCAUCAUCCCUAACAUGGAGCGGCGUACGCCGUCGUGCGAGGCAUAGGACGCGGGGGCGAGGUGUAGAUGCUCUAACCGCAUCUGGAUGAGAUCACAUCGAUUGAUGAUGUCCGGAUAAACGAGUCUCCUCAGAUCAAAACCGUGUAAUAAUCCUACAAAAUAAAGACAUCGCCCAACGUGUUCCAGAACGCUCUGAAUGAGACCCCGCGAAUGGCAACAACCAUACCAUUUAUGAGCAAGUUUUGUCAGUCCCCCCACCCGGCCAGCCCGUGACAUCGAUGUAGCAGCUUCCGUUCCUAUUUAACCAGCGUACCAUUUGCACUACAUUGCAUCACAGCAAGCACACACACACACACACUCUCUAGAGAAAUGGCGAUGGCUAGGACGACGGCGCUCCUCCUCGUCGCCGCGGCUCUCCUGGCGGCCUCAUCCAGCGCAUGGGAGGUGAACAUCCAGAUGCCGGCGUCGGCGGCCGUGGACGAUGCUGUGGCACCGCUCAUCCACGCGCUGCGGCCGCUCCUGGGCUCCGGCAAGCAAGCCGGCGUGGCGUGCGAUAGCUGGCGGCUGGGCGUGGAGGCGCACAACGUGCGGGACUGGAAGACGGUGCCCGCCAGCUGCGAGGAUUACGUCGGCCACUACAUGGUCGGCGACCACUACCGCCGGGACUCCAAGGUCGUCAUCGACCAGGCCAUCGCCUACGUCGACUCCCUCAAGCUCGCCGGCAACGGCAAGGAGGUCUGGGUCUUCGACGUCGACGAGACCACCCUCUCCAACCUCCCCUACUACGCCAAGCACGGCUUCGGGUACGU
RNAcentral lists this long non-coding RNA (65695 nucleotides) under Hordeum vulgare. Its description in RNAcentral is "long non-coding RNA (HVUL_LNC011207)". The record is from RNAcentral. Lineage: Eukaryota; Viridiplantae; Streptophyta; Magnoliopsida; Poales; Poaceae.